AUGUCACAAACAUGGUUCUCUUAGUUUCUAAUCUUUCCUAAUUCAUCAAAGAAUAAAUCCCCAUAGUCAAUGACACAAGUACUGCAGACAUGGCAAUGAGAAUUCUGCUAAUGAGAAGCUAGCACCAAAAGAUUUAGGUCUUCUCUUAUGACCCAUAACCAUGACAUUCAUCUCAAUGAUCAUCUCUAUGAAGACAAAAAUUCCUCGUCACAAUACCUAAGAAAUGCCAAAACAGGAACAAAACUUCCUACCAAACUUCAAGCCCAUCUGCCUACCUUUAAAAGGUGGUCCACUGGGUCAAUGCAAAAUAGACCAGCUUUUAUUACAGAGACUCCCAAUCAAUGAAUGCAGGCUGCUAAACCAAAAUAUAAAACAAUAAGAUGUUUUUAGGUUAUUGAGAACAUGAACCAAAACAAAGAAAACUUUUUUGUUUUAGUGAAAAAUAAGACAUUGAAAGGAUAUGCAGUCAUAAAACUUGCAAUUUUGUAUAUUGCAGAGUUAAAUCUCCACUUUUAAUACACUGGAAAGGGAAUAGCAGCAAGAAAAGACCAAAGCAAUUAAAAUUUCUUACUGCCAAAGCACAAUACAUCCCUACUUUACUCCAUGCUUGUAUAAGAGAACAUAGACCCAGAAAGUGACAAAAACCUAAGCAUCCAUGGUUUUCCAUAGUUAUCAAGUGGUUCACUUGGUUUAGGCAUACUGCCAAAUAAAAACAGAGCAUGACCUUGCCAGUACCAUUAGAAUAUGGCAACUAUCUGCAUCCAAAAUGUGAGCACUUAGGUUCAAUCCUCCUCGACUCCUCUUCAAUAUUUGUUUCAAACUUGAAGCUUCACGAAAAAAGAAAAUCCCUAACACACCUGCCAUCGUUAAAAAAAUUAGCAUCAACAAGCAGACAUAAGAUUCCUUGCACCUAACAUUGACAUGGACUCAAAUUAUCCAAAACUAACCUAAAUUCAUGGAGAUGAAUGCCAAUCAAGCAAAGCACGUGCCUGUGUGAUGUUUGGUCAGUCAUCUGGAGAAGCUUGGAGCACGCCCAUGAUUAGAUCUGUCACAUGAGCUGUAUUUUGGUAAUUCUGGAAUGCGGUAUUUUCUAUUUAAGAUAAUAGAUGGUGAGAAACAUAUAGUCAGAUGAAUAAUAAAACACAUACUCUAGUAUUCUACUGAUUGAUUCACCCAUUCACUAAUCAUUAAAAAGUCUAGAAAUAUAGAAGCUUAAAUUUUCGAAUUUAUGGACAUAGUAAAUAAGCUCAUAAUCAUCAUUUCUAUACAAAAUCAGGAAGUUCAAUGAGGAAGUUGCACUCAACCGCCUUAAGAUAAUAAGGACAUCAGAAUAGAAAACAAAGCUACAAAAAGUCUUAAAGCCAAGAUCAAUUUAAUUAUAGUAUUCUUCUUGGGAGUUGCAUGGUAUAAACCUUCGUUAAGACAUGGACUCUAAUUUUCUUUUCAAAGAAACAGCUAACAUCCUGAUCGGAUAAACAAUGAGAGCCAAUGCCCAGGGCCACUAACAGGAAUGUAGGCAUGGAAACAACAAUUCUGCUAAUGAGAAGCAGCACAAGAAGACCGUCACCUUCAGGAUCCAUGUCAUUGAUCCAAAUGAUCAACUCAGCAACAGUUAAAAAAAAAAAAAGUAUACAAAAAUUCAUAGUCACAGUCGAGAUCUAAGAAAUGCCCAUAAAAGAACAUAACCACAUCAAAAUUAGGACAAAACAAGUACAACUACCUAAUAAUAAAAAAAUUGACCAAAAUACUUCAUGUAAACAAAUAAAAAAAGUUGACCAAUUCAGUAUCAUAAAAUACUUCAUAUAAAAUUUUUGCUUUUAAAAUCGUAGUUUGCUAAAUGAUCCUAGUUGGUUGAUAUGGAACACAUGGAGAAGAAAAGAAAAAACAAAAAGUAUUGAGUAAUUUAGUUUGAUAAAAAUUAAAAAGAAAAUGGAAAUUUAUUCGGAGAAGUAGCAUCAAUUACCCAUGGAAUAAGUGCCUGCAGAUGUCUCCCAAAGAAUCUUAAUUCAUUCGUAAAGCUACAAUAUUGACUACAAACUAACCAAAAAGAUCAAAAACUUUAAAUUCAUGCAAAUUAAUUUAUAAUAAAACAAAAAGAAGAGAAAUUCAUUCUCAUAUACAAAUUCUAAAAGGAAGAGUGACAAGAAAAGAUUAACUAAUAAAAACUCCAAAGGGGUGUGGUGGUAUAGAAACUUCGACCUUCCUCAUUGUUGGCCUAAUUACAGCCUCAAAGAUGAUUAAAGAGCCAUUGCUCAUGUGAUUAAAAUAUGAUAACUAGCUUUGUUAAAAUGUGAAUUACCAAGAAUCAAUCUUCCUUUACUCAUCUAGAGAUGCGUAAAUUCUAGAGAUUGUCAGAAAUUCUGAAAAGUACUUGACAGCUACUUUAUGAAUUGGAACAUAAAGUUUCUGAAUAAAAUAAGCAUAGAAUUAAUUACCUGACUGUAUAUUGGUGCGGUACCACUUUCAUUAAAAUAUCACACCAUUGAUCACUAUUUUUGGAGGUGAGAGCAAGCAAUUGCAUAUAUAUGAGAUCAGGGUACCCUCUGAUUUGCAAGUAACGUCAAUAGCCUGUCCGAUAUGAAGUUCAUAAUUAUAUGAACUCUAUUGCAUUCUCUGCUUCCCCUUCAUCAGCUUGGCAACUAGGCAUUUGAAAAAAUUUGGUCUUUAAAAUCUGGAUCCAAGAAAGAAUAACCAUACAGGCACACACACCUGGACAGCCUCCCCUCUUCAUCAAACAAUUCAAUAGCUGUUAAAUCCAUGGCCGCUGGUGCCUAUGCUGCACAUGUCAUCAGGAAUUGCCUGCACAACAGACCAAGAAGAAGCAUUUGAGUGCUUAUAUGAUCUAGCAGCUCCAUCAGAAUCAAGUGUUGCCCUGUAGUAAUAGUCACUCCUUAAGUCUCUUAUGCUUAAGUCUCUCCCCAUGUGCAGGUAGGUAUCUGGGUCUGAUUGUUACUCAACCCAACCAAGCAUGGGCAUCCAUACUUGAUACUUUUCAGGUUGGUCAAAUUGAAAUGAGUUACAUAUAAUGCUCAUCUCCCGUAUCGUUUUUGAAGCUAGUUCGGCUAGACUAAUAGACAAAUAAGCCCUCAAAAUAAACUUGCCCAGGUUGAGAACAGACCUUAUAUUGAGAUAGUCCACAACCAACUCUGCUCUUAAUAUAUAAGAAAUAAUGAAAAAUAAAUAGUCAAACAAAUAAUAAAAUGCAUAACCUAAUAUCCUAUUGAUUGAUUCACCCAGUUUUUAACCAUUAGAAAGUCUGGAAAUAUAGAAGAGUGACUUUUCGAAUUCAUGAGGAUGGUGAAUAAGCUUAGAAUCAUCAUUUCUACACAAAGUCAGUUGGUUCGAUGAGGGAAUUACACUCUUAACUACUUUAAGAUAAUACAACAACAUCAAAAAUAGAAAAUUGAACUACAAAAGGUCUUAAAUUAAGAUCAAUUUAGACAUAAUAUACUUCUUGGGAGUUUCACGGUAUAAACCUUUGUAAAGAAUUAGACUCUCCUUCUUUAAGACUAUGGACCCAAGACUCAUACUCACUGAUAGAAGUGCAGGCAUGCCAAUGAGAAUUCUGCUAAUGAGAACCUAGCAUAAGAAUAUUAAUGUCUUCUCCUGUGAUCCAGAACUAUAGUCCGAAAUGGGAUCCAUGACAUUGAUGUCAAUGAUCAUCUCCAUGACAACAGAAAAUAUACAGAAAUUCCUAGUCAUAGUCAAGACCUAAGAAAAGCCAAAACAAGAACAACGAAACAUUAAAAUUGGGACAAAAACAAGUGCAUAAGCUUCCUAAUGAACAUUUAAGUCUAUUAGCUUACCUUUAAAAAGUGGACCACUUAGUUAGCACGCAAUAGACCAGCUUUUGUUACGACUCCCAAUCAAUGCAGGUUGCUAUUAUCAUAACCGAACUUUGUUCCUCAUAAGCAGUCUUUUAUGCUGAUACUGGUAACUUAAUAUGGAACAUGUACAAAAAAGAAAAGAAAUAACAAAAAGUAGUAAUUAAUUUCGUUUGAUAUUGAAUGGAGUAAAGUCACAACAUGUGCAUAUGCAAGUAUAUUAUCCUAAAAACCACUUGCAAAAGGCACCAAGUACCCAACUAAUAUCAGACUUGAAUAACCAUGAAUUACCUAAAACUGUAUCCACAUGUUCCUGCAUGAGAUAGAUACACAGAUAGUUUCAACUUUGCUCAUUUGGAAAGAUCAAUUAAAGCUACAAUGCAAAUUACCUGGGAUGAAUUUUCCUUUGUUGGAGAACUUCUCAAAUCAAACAAAUAGAGUUUGUUGCUUGCUCAAAUCUUCAACAACUGGACCAGCCAAAGACUUGUGUAGAUGUACAAUUCCUAAAGAGUGUUGAGCAUAUUAGGAGCCUUUGAAUUCUGAAAGGAGGUCAAGACCUUAACAAUGUAGAAGGUUUAAGUAAUUCUGUUAUCAAACAUGGUAAAAUUGAUUAAACAAAACCUUGAACAGUGAGGUAUUUUCUUCUAAAAAAGAUGAGUCCACCAUUGUGUGGACUAUUGAGAAUAUAAAAAAUACGACAUCAGAAUUAUAAGUAACUAAAAUUACCUACCAAUAAGCAGCUAGCUAGAAUAAAUCCAUGGUUUUCUCCAUGCCUGUAUUAGAGAAAUGACAAAGAAAGUGAGGAAAAAAAAUCAAAGCAUUCAUGUUUUUCGACAGUAAUUAAGUGGUUCACUUGGGUUAUGCAUACUGCCAAAGCAUGAAAAUAUGAGUACCAUUAAAAUAUGAUCUGAACUGUCUGUGUCAAAAUGUCAGCACCUAGGUUGAAUCCUCAUCUACGGCUUUUCAAUAACAUUUGUCCUAGGGUUGAAGCUUCAAGAAGAAGAAAUCUUAAAUCAAAUAAAUGGAGCUAAGGAAUUAUGCAGAUAUAUUCUUGAGAUUAGAAAUUUGGAUGGCUACAUCAGGAAUUGGAACAUAAAUUUUCUAACAAAAUAAGUUCAAGCACAAAGCAAUUACCUGCCGAUAUGUUGGUGCAGUGCCAUUUUCAUUAAAAUAGCACAUCAUCGAUCACUAUUUUUGGAAUGUGAGAUAUAAAACGCCAUUCUUGCCCUUUCUCAAAUUGGCACUGUUGUUCCAGUGAAGGACACUUGAGGACAUACAGAUAAGAGAGGGAGUUUGGCCGUCUCUCUUUUGUCAAGUAUUGGAGCUUAGGGCACUUGUAGAGAUCUAAGGUUUCAAGAGUGGUGAGGUGGUGAAGACCCGCUUAAUAAAAAUUAAUAAAAUAAAUGAAUUUAUUAUAUCUGGAAUAUGUAUAUAUGUCUUAUCUUAGGAUUAAUAUAUAUUAAAUAUCCAUUAAUAGAAAACCCAUUUUUUCUCUUUCCACAAUCUAAUCCUAAUACGAAAAAUCUUGAAAUAUUAUUGGUUUUCUAGCUUUCUUUUAAUUUCUCUAAAAUUUUUCAUUAAGUAAAUAAAUUUGGAAUCAAACUAUACCUCAUAGGUAAAAUUUAUUAAUUUUUAAAAUUAAUUUCAAACUCAAAAACCAAUUUAAUUAGUACUAAAAAGUCAAAAACACAAUAAUAUUAUAAAUUCAUAGGUCAAAAUUUAUUUAAAAUAACUUGGUUAGCUUCUUCUUCACAUAUAACCUAUUUUUAUAAAUUUUUUUCAUGAAGCAAAUAAACUUCAAAUUAAUCGAGACUUGAUGUGUUGAAUUCAUUAAUGAGUUUAAUAAUUUUUAAAAAUAAUUUAAAACUUAAAUAAUUAUGUAAUUAAUACCAUCAAUUUAUAAAUAAAAAUUGGUUUCAAAUGACUCUAUUUUUUUUUAUUUUCUAUGUAAAAUUAUUAUUUUCUUAUUUUUUUGUUUCUAUUAUGCAAAUGGACUCCAAAUUAAACAAGACUUAAUGUCAUAUUUUUAUCAAUGAGUCUAGUAAUUUUUAAAAAUAACUUAAAACUUAAAUAGUGAACCAAUUACUAUUAAAAAUUUAUGGACAAAAAUUGAUUUAGAAUAAUUUUAUUUAUUCUUUUUCUUUACAUAAUCAUUAUUGUCCGAUUUUUUAAACAAAUAAACUUUAAAUUAAACAAGACUUAAUACAUCGGAUUCAUUAAUAAGUUUAAAAAAUUUUAAAAAUAAUUUAAAAUUCAUAUAAUAAACUCAUUAAUAUAAGAAAUUUAUGAAUUAAAAAUGAUUCAUAAUGACUAUUAUUUGUAUUUUUGGUUUUAUUUUAAAAAUAAUUUUUUAAAAAUAAGCGUUAGAAGACAUGUUCAAACGGACCCUUAGCUUUUAAAAAACAAUGCAAUUAUGCAUUUUACAAUCUUUUCUAAAGGUAAUUACAAAUUGUUUUAGUUGUUUUUCCACCUUUCAACCCAAAAAAUUGUUGAAAAUAUAAAUAAAAAAAAAUAUUGUGAUAUUCAACUAUUUCACUUGAAGUUACCCAAAUAUGAAAAUAAGGAUUGAAGGGUGCAAUCAUGCAACCCAAUGGCAUUGAUUUAACAUAGGUUUUGUCCAAUUUACAACCAUAUAUAUUAGUGCAAUCACUAAUAAAAACUCAUUUUAAUGAUCAAGAUAAGUCAUUCUUCUAAUUAUGAGGUAGUAUGCUACAAUUUUAGAUUGAUUGUUCAAGUUUAUGAAUUGGUUGUAAACAAUCCAUCAACUUACAAUAAACUUAUGACUUGGAUCUUUCGUAUAACUUUUUAUACACUAAAAUCUUAUACAAUGCAAGUGAUGUAAACCCGAGUGUUCAAAUAAAUAUUAAUGUAAAUAAUGGCAGAAUAAUGGAAAUAGAAAUCAUAAUAUUAUAUAUAUAUUUAUGAAAUUUCACUUAGUUAAAUCAUGUUAUAUUUUUAAAGGCUUUGAUUUUUUUAAUUGGAUCUUGGGCUUUUAGGAUUUGAUCUUGGGUUUUAGUUGUUUCAUUCGAUGUUAGGCAUUUAUAAUUUUAUUUGGGAACAAUUCAUUUGAUCGAGGCUUCAAUUUUUUGAUGUGGGCUAUAGGCUGUGAUUAUUUCGGGCUUUGGGUUUUUGUGAUUUGGGCUAGUUUUGAUCAUUUAAUUUGUUGUUUUGGGCUUUGGUUUGGAUUGAUAUUUGAUUAGGCUUUGGGUAUUGGAUUUGUUGUUUCUUAAUUUGGAAAUAAUAUUUGACAUUGGCUUUUGGGCUUCGCUUUUAAUAUGUAGUUUUGACCUUGGUUAAUUCCUAUUUGAGCCCCUGGUCGGAUUAUUUCAUUUUGGCCUAUUGAUUUGUUGACUUGGACUUUGUGUUUGUGCUUGUUUGUGAUUUAGGCUUGGUCUAUUGUUCUGGGGUUUUAGUUUGAUUGUGGGCAUUUGUGUAUUACUUUGGGCUUGGCCUUUAUAAUUGUUUUGAAUUUAUUUAUGGUAUGGGCUUGGUUGUUUGAUUUUGACCUUCUAUAUACUCUAUUUGACCUGGGCUUAGGGCUUUCAUUUAGUUUAUUUGAGCUUGGUUAAUUUGAUUUGGAUUUGGGCCUGUUAUAACUUGUAAACUAUUUAGGCUUGCUUUUCUUUUAUUGAACAGAAUCAACAAAAGUAAGGUGUAUAUUUUUUUAAACAAGCAGAAUACGCGCAUUCAAAGUUUUGAAAAAUAGUUUUGAAAAAUUAAUUUUAAUCUUUUUUAUGUAUAUAAAUAUUUUCCAAAAAUAACUUUAUGAUAUAUAUUUCUUCAAGCAAUCAUAAACGAAAAAAAAAAAAAACAAAUGAAAAUAACCGAAAACAACUCAUAUAUUUUUUCAAAAAACACCUAAACCGGCUUGCUUUUUUUUUUUUUUUUUUAUCAAACAGUUUUCCUAUUUUCUUGUUCUUAAAUAUAGAUAAACAAAAGUGGUUCAUUGUGACCCUAUCAUUUGUCUUUUGUUUUUUAAUUUUAAAAUAGGUUUUAAAAACAAGUAGAAAAAUAUGAUGAAACGAACCCUUAUCUUUUAAAAAAUAAGGCAAUUCAAAAUACAUUUUAAAAGGCAAAUUAUAAAUUUCUUUAGUUGUUUUCUCAUCUUUGAAUCGAGAAAAUUUGUUUGUACGAUCUUUCCAUCUAAUUAGUCCCUUGAAAUAUUUGUCCCCUUUUUCAGUAUUAUCAAUAUAUUUAUGACUAUUUGAAUGAAAAUAUAAGAAAAUAUCAUAAAUAUUCUCAUGAAACUCCUUGAUAGCAAUUAUUUCACUUAUCAGUGAAAAUAAAGUUACCCAAAUAUAAAAAAGGAUCGAAGGAUGCAACCCAAUGGCAUUCAUCGAGAUGGCAAAGUUUGAUACAAUUUGCAAAUACUUCUAUAUAUACUCAUCUUAUCUUAUAUUUCAUUGAAUAUAAGAUAAGAUAAAUUAAUGGAUAUUUAUCAUAUAGUAUCCCUACCAAAAAUGUCCCCUCCUUUAUUUGAACUCAUGGUAGGUGAAAGAAUGUAUUUUCGUGCAAAUGAUAACAAGGCAAUGAUUCGAGAUCAUGAAUAGAAAGAAAUUCCAAAAGCGCUACACAGUAACCUUCCUCAUGGUUGGCCUUAGAGCUGAAUCCUCCUGAAUGCACCAAAUGGACACCAUCACUAGCCUCUCCAACCUCUUCAUAUCAUUCAUAAUUUGCAUCCUCAUCAUCUUCCACCAACUUCUCCAACUUCCUUUGCACAAACAGUUCAUAAUCUCGAUCCAUUAGAGCUUCCUCUCCGUCUUCCAUAUGAAAGAGGAAAUCUUCUUCUAACACAUUGUCUCUAUAAAUGGCUACUUUGCAUAAGCAAUCCUCUUUACAUGACUCUUUAUACUUCUCCUGCUCAACCAAUUUGUGUUGUUUAAUUCUUUCAACUCCACUUCAUCCUUCGCUUUCUUCACUUUCUUCGCUUCAUCUUCAUCUGCUUGGCAACUCCACUUCACUCUCACUCUCAAGAACAAAGUUACCGAGCAUGGCAGCAUGAGUAACCCCUUUAACAGCCGACUAAGUUCUCCAAAGCUCAUAUCCUCAUUUGUCAGCGAGUUUGAACUCCCCAUUUUUGGUGAGUUCAAUUUUUGUACCCUUCUGCCACUUCUUUAUCUGCAUACCAAAUUAUUGUUUGGUAAUUCAUGUUCGCUAAUUGCAUAUAGAACAUAAUUAGCCCUUUUAAAAAUAAUAAUUAAUAUGAUCAAUCAUCUUCUAAGAUGGCAUGUUACAUAAAAGGUAACAAGAUUAUGCUACUUUUUAAAAUUUUUCCUUAGGGUGUCAAUGUCAUAAUGUGGGUACAAACUGACAGUAUAGGAACAAGUACAUUGAUAAAAAUUAAAAGAGAAAAAUUCGAAAUUUAUUCAGAGAAGUAGCAUCAAUUGCCUAGGGAAUAAGUGCCUGCAGAUGUUACUCCUUAGUCCCCAGUAUGCUUGAAACAAACUGGAGACUGAUCAGUUUCUUACAGUAUCAGAAGACGGCAGCCUAGCUAUAGCUAACCACACAAAGAGAUUGAAGAACACUGAGCUGCCAAGUAGUAGUGACCCAACAAGAAUCAAGGUAGACUUAUCUGGGCCUGUCUGCAAGCCUUUUGCUCUGUUUUCCACAGGAAAGAAGGAAUCUCUUCUGCCAACACAUUGUCUGUAUAAAUGGCUACUGCACAGAAGCAAUCCUCUUCACAAGACUCUUUAAAACUUCUCCUUGUCAACAAUCCGUCUAAUCCAAAGUUCAUAAUUGGAGAUUUGCCAGUCUAUGUUGUUAUUCUAUGAACUCUACUACCUGCUUGGCAUCUGGACAUUGGAAAAUUUGGUCUUUAAAAUAUGGAGCCAAGAAAGAAUGCCUACAUAGGCACUCACAUCUGAACAACCCCCUCUCCCCAUCAAACAAUACAAUAGCUGUUGAAUCCACAAAUCCCGCUGCCACUGCCACUUGCAGCUGCAUUGCAAUUGUCAUCAGUAAUUGCCUGCAGAACAGACCAAGAAGUAUUAAUGCAGUUCCAAUGGUUUGCAGUGUUCUGUUUUCGGUGCUUAUAUAAUUAAAAUCAAGUGUUGUCUUGUAUUAAAAUCACUCCCAAAAUCUAUCUUCUGAUAAGAGGUUAACUUAUGUGGCAAGAUGGUAUCAGUGGGAUUCUUGAAGCACGCCCAGGCGCAAAUAACUAAAGCCAUAUUUUCAAAAAAAUUUGCUUACCAACCAAGAAAAACCUGGUAGAAUUAGCAGGUCAUUCAAGUACAUGUGGUUUUGGCCUCUUAAAUAUUCAAUCACAGGUACAUUCUAUAUGAUUUUAAGCGACUAGAGAAGAAUGAAAAAGAAAAUUAUGAGAAUGUCAACCAGUGUGGAAACUAAUUUCCUCAAGUAACUUCUCUCAAUAUCAUUUUCCUUUGUGACAAUAUUAAAGACCUAUAGUUACAAGUUACAACUUAAUUUUCAUCUCCGGACUUACCAUGUGAACAUACUUGAGUCUGAUUGUAACUCGACCCAACCAAGCAAGGGUCAUCCAUACUUGAUACCAUUGACAUUGGUUGAUGGAAUUGAGUCACGGGCUAGUCCAGCUUGACUAAUAGUCAAAUAUGCUCUCAAAACGAACUUUCCUGAGAUUGAGAACAAACCUUGUAUCAUAAAAAGUUCAUAAAAAUAAAUCUGGAGAACAUUUAAUAUAGUCAACAACCAACUCUUGUUCUUCAUAAGAGGUGGUGAAUUAGCUCAUAAUGUAGAAGAGUAAAUUUUCUAAAGCAUGAAAAUGGGGGAAUAAGCUCAAAAUCAUCAUUUCUAUACAAAAUCAGAAAGUUCAAUGAGAGAAUUGCAUUCAAUUACUUUAAGAUAAUAACAACAUCAAAAUAAAAAACAGAACCACAAAAGUCUUAUAGUCAAGACAAUUUAAUUACAAUAUUCGUCGUGGGAAUUUUGCGGUAUAAACCCUCAUUUAGACUUGGACUUUUUAAUUUUCUUUAUGAAUAAACAAUUGGCUCCUGCUCAAAUGAAAAAUGAGAACCAAUGCUCAUAGUCACAGACAGAAGUGUAGGCAUGGCAAUACCAAUUUUGCAAAUGAUCAUUUGGUCAUAGUCAAGACCUAAGAAAAGCCAAAACAAGAACAAUAGAACAUCAAAAUUGGGACAGAAACAUGUGUAGCAACUACAUAAUAAAGAUUUGUGUCAAUCUGCUCACCUUUUGAAGGUGGUCCACUGGUUUAGUGCAAAAUAGACUGAUUUUUUCUUUACAGGGGCCCUCAAUCAGUGUUGGCUGCUGAACUAGAAGAGAGUUCAGAUAACUAAAAAAUUCUAUAAAUUCAAUACCAUAAAAUACCUCACAUAAAAAUGUUGCUUUUGGAACUGUAGUUUUCCAAAUGUUCUCAAAUUUAAAAAUACAUUGGCAUAAAGUUAUUGAUGUUUACCUCAUAUUUUUUUCCAUGGUCAUAUCAAACAUUGUUCUCAUAGUAAGUCUUCUAUGUUGAUCCUUGUUGCUUAAUAUGAAACACAUAAAAGAAAAAGUGGUGAUCAAUUUAUUUUGAUAUCGAAGGGAGCAAAGUCACAACAUGUACAUUACAUAUGUAGCCAACUAAGUAUAUAUUAUGAUGUGGGUAAGAUUCAAUACAUAUUUCAGUAACCAUGAAUUACCUAAAAAUGUACACGUGUUCUUACAGGAGAUAAACACACAAGUAGUUAAGAGUCAUCUUUGCUGGGCAACCAGGCAAUUGAAAAAAUUUGGUCUCUAAAAUUUGUAUCCAAGAAAGAAUACCUAUACAGGCAACAGUCUGGAUAGCCUCCCCUCUUCAUCAAGCAAUACAAUGGUUGUUAAAUCCACAAAUCCCACUACCAUGGCUACUGGUGUCUAUGCUGCAAUUGUCAUCAAAAUUGCCUGCACGAUAGACCAAGAAGAAGCAUUUGUUUUUAAAAUCAAAAGCUUCUAUAUAUAAGUAAAGCAUCUUAUACAAAAGUGUAUAGAUUUACAUUUUCAGAAAUUUUAAAUUUGAGAGAAUGAGAGUUUAUUUGGUGAAGUUUUUAAAAAUAAUUUUCUAUUUUUAAAAAUUGAAAAAAGUUUAAAAAAAUUAAUAACACGGUUUGGUUAUUCUUAUCGAUUUCCUUUUUUAAAAACAAAGUAAAAUAAAGAAUAACUUUUAGAGAACAAUUAAAAGUUAUUUUUAUCUAUUUUUAAAAAUAAUAGAAAAACACAUGCACUCUAUUAUUUUUCUUCUACAUAGAAUUAUUAUUUUUCAAUUUUUUUGGUUAAGCAAAUUAACUCCAAAUUAAACAAAACUUAAUGUGUUGUAUUUGUUAACAAGUCUAUUAAUUUUUAAAAAUAAUUUAAAACUUAAAUAAUAAUCUCAUUAAUACCAUAAAUUUAUUAAUAUAAUAAAAUAUCUUUUUUUUCUAACAAAUAAUAAAAUAGUAUAAUUUCUACUAAAAAUAUAAUUUAUGAUUUUAUUAUUAUAUUACUAUUUAUGUUUUACUAAAAACUAUAUAUUUUUUAAUUUUUUUGUAAUUACAAAAUUAUUUUCAUUUUCAAUUAGAAUUCAAUUCAAUUUAAUUAAUUAAUAUUAAAUAAAUUGAAUUUUAAAUAUUUUUACAAAAUAAAAAUAAUUUUAAAAAAAAACAAUUUAUCCAAAGAAGUCUUUUUUUAUUUUUUAAAUUCAUUUUACAAUAAUAACUUACCAAAUAUCCUUAAUUUUAUAAAACAUUAAAAAACCUUUUUUGAUUCUUCAACGUUAACAAAGUUUCUAAAAAAACAUAAGAAAUCAUGUUCAAACAAAAAGUUUUAAAAAAUUAAUUAAAGUACUUAAUUGACUUAUAUUAAAAAUGAAUAUUAAACUUAUUUUUAUAUUAUAGAAAUUUUUUAUUUCACUAUAAUAAAAAAAAUCGUUUCAUAAUUAAAAAUAAAAUUACUUAUCUUUAACUAAUAUAUAAUUUUAAUAAGACUUAACUUGAAUUUGAUUUCAUAUUAUUAUAAAUUAAUUUUAUAAAAUAACUAAUAUAUUAUUUUAAAAAAUAAUACAAAUUUUUUCAUCCAAAGUUCUUGCUUUUUGUUUUAAAAAACUAUUUUUUAAAACAUCUUGUCAAAUACUCUAAUUUUUAAAAAAUUAUAAAAAACAGAUUUUUGUAGCCCUAAAUUAUUUUUUUGAUACCUUGAUUGUUUUAAACAGUUUUUAAAAUUAUUAAUUUUUCAAUGUAAGCCUUUAAGAGUUAAAAUACAAAAGUUACUGUCACUUAAUUUUAGGCUUAACAAUGUAGGAGAUUUAAGUGUAGGCAAGGAAUUAAGCAGAUAUAUUCUUGAGAUUAGAAAUUUGGGUGGAACAUAAAUUUUGUAAAGAAAUUAAGUUUAAGCACACAACAAUUACCUGCCCAUGUGUUGGUGCACUGCCACUCCCAUUAAAAUAGCACCCAAUCGAUCACUAUUUUUGGAAUGUGAGAUAUAUAACGCCAUUCUUGCCCUUUCUCGAAUUGGAGCCGUUGUUCCAGCAAAGGACACGAUCCGACAUCCAGAGAACAGAGGGAGUCUGGCAGUCUCUCUUUUGUCAAGUAUUGGAGCUUAGGGCAACGGACGAUACUUAAGGUUUCAAGAGUGGUGAGGUGGUGAAGACCCGCUUCUGUCAAGGAUUGGAGCCUUACGCACGACCAGAUUCGUAAUUCCUUGAGAGAGAUAAGGCGUUGAAGAACAGAUCCUGUCGAGAAUUGGAGCUCAGGGCAGUUCUCGAUCCGUAAUUCUCGAAGAGAGGUGAGUUGUUGAAGCCCCUUGUUGUCAAGAGAGUUGAGAUUUGGAAGAACACAGAUUGAAAGAUGAGUUAGAGAAGAGGGCAGCAGACACUCCUUGGGAAAUAAUUCCACGCCUUCACAUCCACCUCCGAUUGUGAAAUGAGUAAGAGAGGUCAGUCUUUGCAAAUCCCAGUCCACCUGUGACGUGAGUUGGUUGCAGCGCCAUAUUGCAAGUUCCCGUAGGUUGGAAGGCAAACCCUCCCUGUGCAACAACAAUUCUGGACAAUCCGCUAAACACAGUUUCUGCAGAGAUGAAUGGGUGUGCGCCAGCAAUUUGAGAUUGGAGCAAUUCCAAAUAUCAUGGUACAUCGAGUCAAGAGCAGGCAGUUGGAUGUAUACAAGAUUAAGGCACCGAUGGAUCUUCAAAUUACGAAGAGAUGUGGGAUCCCCCUCUGAAAUCGAGAUGCAGAGCUCCUCAAGCCCCUUAAGACCAUUUAUUUCGAAAUCAGUCAACCUGGGGAAGAUGUCCAAUACUGAGAAGGACAACAAGAGAGAAUCACAGGUACCGCCAUUGAUUGAUAGAUUUUCGAGAACCGGGUGAUGGCAUCUGAACAACUCAGGUAGAAGAAGGUCCAAUUUGGUACAAUCAGAGAUUGAUAACGAUUUCAAUGUACUGGGUAAGCCAACUUUGUUUGGGGAUCUGUAAAAAGAGCAAUCACAAAUUUCCAAACUGUACAUGUUGGUUUGCAGGAUUUCCUCCUCUAGUAGAGACUCCACAGAAUCAGAUUUUCUAAUGUAGAGAUAGUGGGGUACCAGUGGAAGUUGCUUCAACUGAGAGACGUCUGAAAUUUCAAUUUUUGAAGUUUGACUAGUUGUGAACCCACAAGUUUGCCUUUUCAACUGCAAUUCACGGGCAGCAAGAACGUUGAGUGUAGGCACAAGCAGUUGCGGACAAUCUUUAAGGUUAAGUUCCUGCAAUGAAGAAAGGUGCAUUGGUAAUUCCCCAGUGAGUUUUGGACAUAGCCUUAUAGAAAGCUCCUGGAGACGAGGGAAUUCUCCACAACAUAACCAUUUCUCCCAAUUGGACAUAUCUUCAAAUGAUAGAGUUUGCAGGGAUGGGAAGGAGGGAUGAAGCGAGGAAGAAGAAUUCCCAUAAAACUCACUACCCACCAUCACUACUCCACUCAUUUUUGAGAUCUUUAUAUGUUCAAGACAAGGUAGCUGCCCCAGUGGCGGCAAUGUUGAGCAAUUCCCACAAUUCGAAAGCUGAAGGGACACGAGCUUUGAAAAUGAUCCAUCUCCAAGCCAAUCUGGAAAUGUUAGACCAGGAUAGUGUUGAAUGGACAGUUUUUUUAAAUUUGGAUGAGGUGUUAGCCUGUUGAGAAUAUCAUCUUGUAUAGCAUCAUGACUAAUCCCCCAACUCCAAUUCAAGGAUAACUCAUCAAGGUAUUUCUUAUCCUUCAUAUUCGCCUGCAAUGCAUCCUCAACACCCACCACAUUCUCCAUUUUUGAAAUUUCAAGUCUUCCUCGAAUCUCUGAAAGCUUCCACAAUUCUCCAAAUCUGAAUCCACUUUCUUUGCCCACAGUAAAAUUAGGCAAUUUCUGCAAACUUUUUAAUUGACCUAUAUCAUUUGGCAUUUCUUCCAAUGAAUUAGACCCGCUAACAUCAAGAUAGCGCAAAUUAAUCAACCUCCCCAUUUUCGAAGGCAAUUCAAGAAGAUGCCUACAUUUACUCAGCACCAUCGUUUGCAAAUUGCACAAACAACAUAUUGAUUCAGGUAAUCUUUUAAUCAUUGUUGUAGAGAGAUCCAAGUAUCGCAACUGUUUUAAAUUGUGUAUUGAAUCAGGCACAUCUGUUAUGCAGUAUCCACACAAUGACACAACACCCGCAAAGAUUUAAAUUUUGGUAAUGUAUUUUGUAAAACUCUUGUACUCAAUGAAUAAAUAGGAAAGGGUGGUACUUUGUUCUCCGCUAAGACUGUUCUGAGAUGUUUGGCUCGACCAACAGGCUCAAAACCGUCAUAGUCACUUUUAAAGUAGACCAAAUGCCUAGUCUUAUCAGAUAUUUUUUGCACCUUACAAUCUUCCAAUCGAAUGCAAAAUUCUUGGGAGAUAUGUUGAGCCGAGUCAUGUAUUAGAUCAUGCAUUACAAAGCAUGACUCUUUUGCAAAUGAUUUCUUUGUAAUAGACUCUUGAAAAAACGACUUUGCUAGAAGCUCAUUAAAACAUGACUCACCUACCUCUUCCAUUCUUUCAUCACUUUGUCCUGCGUGUAAAAGCCCUUCUGCCAUCCAUAAUAGAAUCAGCUUCUCUUUGUCAAAUUCAUAAUCCUUGGGAAAAAUUGAACAGUAAGCAAAACAACGCUUCACAGGAGGAGAAAGAUGCAGAUAACUCAAUCUAAGAGAUGGAAGAAUUUCAUGACCACUCUGGGAAUGCCAUGUUUUGCUAUUCAAAAUAUCUUCCCAUUCUCUUUGCUGGGCCUUAGAGUACAAGAGCGUCCCGAGUGCUUUUAGAGCCAAAGGCAAUCCUUGGCACUUGUCCACAAUCUUUCUGCCUAUGGGUUCAAGCUGAGGGUAAGCGCUGGAAUCUCCAUUUGGAAAUGCAAAUUUUGUAAAUAGGGCCCAACUAUCUUCAGGGCUUAAUUCUCCCAGACGAUGAGUACUGACUGCACCCAUGAGUUUUGCAACAAUUUCAAUACGAGUCGUCACAACAAUCUUGCUUCCCUCUGCUGCAGCGCGGAGUGGAGUUCCUAGUCUAUCCCAACUUUCCCAAUCAAGAGACUUUACGUCCCAGACGUCGUCGAGAACGAGCAGAAGUUUCUUGUUACCUACGCUCUUUUCCAGUUGACGCUGAAGCAAAUUUAUGUUGUCAGAGGAAGGAGGUGUAGAACCGAUUUCCUCGAGAAUUGUUUUGGUGAGGUUGGUAAGAAGAAACUCAGUGGAAACACAGACCCAUGCUUUCAAGUCGAAGUGUUCCUUCUCUGUGGCAUGGUUAUAGAGAUACUGAGAGAGUGUGGUCUUGCCGCUGCCGCCCAUGCCCACUAUGGACAUCACCUCGAUGUUGUUGCCUCUUGCGUUAUCAGAAAGCAACCAGUUCACCAUCUCCUCCUUAAUUUCAUCCCUUCCGUACACAAUGGACGACUCACCCACCAAAGAAGAGGAUGGUAAUCUUGGUGACGGUUUCUCGCCCCCACCUUCUUUCAGCCCAAGCCCAACUUUUUCUUGAGCAAUAGUCUCAAGUUUAGUAAUCAUCUCCUUCAUCCUGGACUCCAUGCUUUGAGUAGCAAAUGGAGCCUUAACCCAAGCAGGGACCUUGUUCCAGUUCCACGCCUGAUGAGUUCCGCCGGUUUGCGAGUCAGCAGCUUCUAUCUCGCACCGCAAAGCGUCGGUAGCGAUCUCGUCCAACAGGUCCUCCGCAUGAUACACAGCAUCCUUAACUUGGACCAGCCACUUUUUGACUUGUGCGUCUGAAAAUUGCUUCAUCUCCGCAUCAUUGAGCACUUUGUGGACAACCACCAAUUUCCUCUCCAACUCCUUGAGGAGGUCAUGGCUGAGAUUCUUUCGCCGAAUGAAAUUUAUGAGUUCCGGAGAAGCCAACCUGUCGAAUAGAACUUGAAGAAAAGCCGAGAGGACUGCGUCCGCCGUUGCAAAAGGAAUUCAGCGAGAUUGAAUACAGGAAAAAAUGAAGGUAAGCGGAAUGCAGAAUCACAGCAGUAAAGAGUAAAGACUGGUGUCUUUUGCCAAGGGCUUGAACUUGAAGGAAUCAUUGAUGGUGGUGGACCCAGAUGCAGACUUUUUUGCCAAACACAAUAAUUGAGUGGUGACCGGUGAGUAAACGAAAGCAAAGGGGAAAGCAAAAGCGCAUAAAAAAGCUGAUGCCAGACUCUGUUGAGUAAGGUGGGUAGUGCCAGCUUUUUAUUUGUUUUUCUUUUUAAUAUACUCAUUUCUUUUUCUACUACUAUUAUUAUUAUUAUAACAGACGAAUAUUUGUUUCAACAUUAAUAUUCCUAAUAUUAUACUUUCAUUUUUUGUAGUAAUAAUGAUUUCAACAUUUGUGUUAAUACUAUUAUUUUUAAUAAUUAUAAAUAGUAUUGCAAUUCUACAAUUACUAUCACUAUAUUUUUAUUGCUUAUAAUUAUUAUUAAUAGAAUUUAUUAAUAUACAUAUAUAUAAAACAUUUUUACAUCAAUUUAAUGGAGUAGGUGGAUGGAUGUUGAUUUGACCAUUUUUACAUAUUGAUUGAUCCAUUGUCUCAAUUCAAUGGUGGGUCGAAAGCAUUUUUAUAUCAAGUUGGUGGAGUAGGUGGAUGAAUAUUGACUGAUAAAUUGUCUCAUGAAUUUCUUUUCUGUUUUUUUGUUAAAAUUUUAUUCCUUGAAAGUUAAAACCAACUUAAAAUGCAUUGUAAAAUAAGUUUCAAGCUAUUAACUUGGAAUUACAAGAAUCAUUUUCAAUAAUUAACAUUUUUAUUUUUAAAAAGUAACUACUAAAAUUAAGAUUUAAUUAUGAUUAUGAAAAUUGUUGCUUUUUACAUUUUUAUAAUGAUACUGUUUUUUACAUAUUAAAUUUUUGGAUUGUAAUGUGACUUUUCUUUAAUUGGGAUGUCUAAAAAAGAAGUAAGAUAAUUAGAAAUCUUAUUUCCAGCACUGUUUGGAGUUCUUACUUUCUAUUGUGAAUUUGAAAAUUAAAUUAAAAAUAUUUUUGAUAAUGUUUCUAUUAUAACGUUAUAUUUAAUUCUCAAAAAAUAUUAAAAAAAAUACAAAAAAAUGAUUUUCUUAUAUUUAAUUAUGAUAUAAAAAAUAUCAAAGAAAAUAAAAUAUAAUUAAAACUAAUUAAAAAUUUAUAUAUUUGUAAAUUAUUUAAUUUUUAUAUAGAUGAGUUAAAAUAAGUUUAAAAUAGUAAAUAAAAAUAAUUUAUUUUUAUUUUCUUUCACUUUUUCUUUUUUUUUUAAUUUUUCUUUCACAUUUUCUUUCAAUUAUUUUGGGAAUCAAACAUAAUUGAAGUGUUUAUAAUAAAAACGCUUUUUCUAAAAAUGAUUUUAAGAGAAUCACAUAUCCAAUGUUAAUUUUUUUAAAAUAUUAUAAGUAAUUUUUUAAUAGUAAAAGUGAUUUUUAAAAUUUUUAAUAAUAUUUUCUUAAUUUUAUCAAAUACUUCACCUUUUUUUUUUUUAAGUAGAAGCACUUUUUUAAAUUAUUGUUAAACUAAUUCUAACAAUAUUGAAACCACCAAAACAUACUAUUUAAAAAUCAUAAUAAAUAUUAGGUGAAUGAUUCAAGUAGGCAUGGAUUUUCCUUUAUUUUAUUUUAUUUUAUUUUUUGUAACCAGGAGUGUUGGAUUAAACUUGAUAUUAACACCAAAGGCCUCAUUUUUGGAAUUUAAUUAACAAAAAAUUCCUUUUCAAGUUGAUAUUAAUAUAAAUAAUUUUAUGGAGUCCAGUUUUCUGCAAACAUACUUCUUUCAUUGAAUCAAUUUUGGUGGGUGGUGGAAUUUUUUUUUCUUUUAUUAUUAUCAAUUUGGUGGAGUCGGUGGGUAGAUUGGUGGAAUCGGAUACUGCCAAAAAAGCAAAAGCAUCCAUAGGAUGAUGCCUACCAUUCCUUCUUUUCCACUUUUAUUUUUUGAAAUUUUAAUCCUUUCACUGAAUUUGACAACCAUCUUAAAAUAAUUAUUCGGAGCUGAUUUAAAAUAAUAAGGAUCAUUUUUAAUAAUUUUUUUUAAGAAAAAAUAAUUAUUGUCUUACACUCUAUUUGAUAAUAAUUUCAAAAAAUAUUUUUAAUUUUAAAAAUUAGAUAUUUAUUAAAAUAUAAAAUAUAAAAAUCUAUUUAUAAUAUUAAAAAAAUCACUUAUUAUGUUUCCUAAAAUAACACUCGAGUUCAUGGCUGAGAUUUUGUACCGGAUGAAGUUGAUGACCUCCGGAGAAACCAACCAGUCGAAUAGAACUUGAACUUGAAGGGAAGCCGAGAGGAGUGCGUUCGCCGUACCUGUUGACUGCAAUUCUGGAGGCUGGUCUCUAUUGCCAAAAUGCACAAGCUUGGAGGAAUGAUUGAUGGUGAUGGACCCAGAUGCUGACUUUUUGGCCAAACACCAUAAUUGAGUGGUUAUUAAAAGAAAGCAAAGGGGAACCAAAGGCCAAAAAAGCUGUGGUGGACCCAGAUGCUGACUUUUUUGCCAGACACCAUUGCCUUGUGACUUGUUAGUAAAACAGAGCAAAGGGAAAAGCAAAAGCAGAAAAAGCAAUUUUUUUUCUCUAAAAUAUCUAUUGGAGUGUCCCACAUUUCUAGUCGGAAUAUAUAAUUUUUUUAAUAAAAAAAUUAUUCUAUAGAUUAUUUUCUAAAUUCAUGUACAAAUGUAAUUAGAUUUUUUAUAAAAUAAAAAGACAGUAGAUUAACCAAUGACAACCACAUACAAUUUAAUAAUUAAUUAAUUAAUUAACUAAUAUUAGGUUAAUUCAGACUCAAAUUAUUUGACCAUCAUAGUCAUGAGAGCCUAAAAGAGAAGCUAACAGCAAAGAGGAUGCAUACAAUAAAACCAAAAUUAUGUGGUAUUCCCAUCAAGCAUAUCCUCCAUCACUUCUAAAAAGCAUUAAAAUUUUUGAGAUUCGGAUAGGAUUCAAGCAACUUGCAAAGAAAUUUCCCAUAUGAAGUUGGUAAUUAUUAGGAAGAGAAAAUUUAUAAUGGAAGAAGGAUUGGAUUGGAAGUAAUUGUUUGAAGUCGUCAACAUCAUGACAAAGUUGUUGGUAACUGUGAGGCUGAGAGAUUAUUGUGGGCUCUCCUCCACAUGCCUGCCCAUGUGUCGGACCACGUGUCGCACACCCUCAGCCUUGUCUGAAUAGAUGUCAUAGUGACCAUUCUAUUCGGACCACACCUGCACCCCACCUAAGUGGGCAACAUCCCCCAACCAGACUCUGUGUCCUCUUUGCUAUAUAUAAUUAUUUUCAUCUAACAUAGGAAUGACUAAUGCGAUCUUCUUCAACCUUACGUCCAUGUUAGUGGAUUCUCACACAUUGUCCCACAUCUUCAGCAAGUUGAAACGACGGGCAGCUGCAUCAUGACAUAUUGGCUGACGACACUUGCCAACCGCUCUAAAUAAUGAUGAUUGUAAUGGGCAACCAUCAUUAUAGGAAAAGUCAAAGUGCCAACUUAGUACAAUAGUGACUCCCUCCUAAAGACUAUAAAAACCCUCCUAAAGACUAUAAAAACCCUCCUAAAGAUUCCCCCAUUUUCUCUCCUCUCUAAAGGUUCCUAUCUACCUGUGCCUGAUUUAAGCUUUGAAGGGACGUACUUGAACAACUUGUCCGAACAUCCUUUAUGCAGGGAAGAAGCUUGUCAAGAUUCCAAUUUAGCAGAAGCUCUCAAUGGCACAACAAGGGGAGAAUCCAUCUCUAGUUGACUUCGCAUCAACAAUUAUUAUUUGAAACAUCAUAUUAAAUAUCAACCUCUUAUUCAUCAAAAGAUUGGCAACAAGAAAAUUUGGCCUAACUAGUAGAUAGGUUUAAUCGCAUGGUCCAAACUAAGAUUGAAAUAAGAAUGCAAGCUUUGUGUCCACAACAUGCUUUCAUAUUGCUGAUAUACAAAACCACCGGGUGGUUUUCUAAGUUUUGAAUAUUCCAAAAGCUUGAUAGACUUUUGGAGUUGCCAAAAUUUCUAUAUAGAUAGAGUUCACAACUGUUUUGAAUUUUCAAAACACCUAAAAAAGAGACCUUUUGCAACAAGUACUUGCCAAUUUUUCAAUACUUGUAAAAGUGAGAACAUGGACUGGUGAAUCGUGUUACAUCAACUGGAAGAGAAGAUGACCAUCUUGGUGCUUACCUACCAUCUUGAAAUUUGUAACCAUAGUGUAGCAACCUGAGUUUUGGGUCAAAAUGGCCCAUUUACACAAAUAUAUAUAUAUAUAUAUAUAUAUAUAUAUAUAUAUAUAUAUAUAUAUAUAUAUAUAUAUAUAUAUAUAUAUAUAUAUACAUAUAACCAUUUUAUGAAACUUAUAUUCAAAUUAGCCUAUUUGAUGUCACGUAGGAGUCGUGUUAUAAAAAUAUAUAUAUUUUUUCAUAAUUUUAGUUAAAGUCUCAAUUGACAAUUUAUGCUUUAUUUUUAAAUUGAAGUCGCAAUUGCUAGUUGAGGUUUCAUUUUUUAACUGAAGCCUCAAUUGAUAACUGAGACUUUAUUUUUUAACUAAAACCUCAACUACCAACUGAGGUUUCAAUGAUUUUUUUUAUUUAAAAUUAAUUAAAAACUAUUAAAUUAUAAUUCAUUAAUUAAAUUAAAAAUAUAUACUUUAAUAAUAAAUUAGUCGUCAACCCAUCAUCUCAUCAGUGUCAACAUCAUUACAACCCCCUACCUUUUUAUCUCUAUAAUUAGUACAGUCACCCAUAUCUUCAGAUCUACCAUCAGUGCAAUCCCUUACCUCUUCACACUCAUCACCAAUGCAACCCCUUACCUCUUCAAACUCAUCAUUAGCAUAACCCCCUAUUUUUUAAAACUUAUUUUCAAUUUAGCUCCUUACCUUUUCAUACCCACCAUUAGCACAACCCCCUACCUCUUCUGACCCACUAUCAGUAUAACCUCUAACCUCGUUAGACCUACCUCCAUUACAACCUCCUACCUCUUCAGACUCACUAUCAGUGUAGCCCCCUACCUAUUCAGACUCAUUAUUAGUACAACCACAUACUUCUUCAGACCCAUUUUUAGUGUCUGCUAACCCAUAUGUCGAUCCCCUUUCAUUGCACCUAGAUGUUUCCUUAGCUACUUCACUAGGACCUGAGUUUAGGACAUUAGUUCUACUAUCACCGGAGUCAUUUAUAUUUGAUUCUAUACCUAUGCGAUUGACACAUCUACUCAGUUAGAUUUAUCCCCAACCAUUUUGAAAGGUAGGUGUGACCUACAUUGACUUAGAUUGCUACCUCCACCACCACCUCUAUUCCAACUCUAGCUUCAACACAAAUAGAUGUUCUUCAUAUGUCAAAUGUAGUAUCUACUACAGUUAGAAAAGAGCAACCAAAACAGAAGAGAGUACCAAUUACAUAUGAGUUAUCUCCUUGUGGAGACAUGUGAGAUUAUAUAUGUUUUUUUUUCCCACUAUAUAAAUGUUUAAUGGGUAUUUUUUUGUGACUUUGAUGAAACUACUAAAAAUUAUAUUUUGUAGUAGACUUUUUCUAAUUAAUUUCAUUAACUAAUUUUAUCAAAAAAUCUAUAUAUGUCAACUUAAGGGUGUACUAUUAUUUUAAUAAAGAUAAAUUUGUCAUAAUACAAAUAAAUUAUUAUCUUAAAUUAAUAAAUUAUAUAAUUUUAUAUCUUAUUUAUAUGUUAUAUAAAAUUAUUAUUUUAAGAUUAUUAAUUUAUUAAUAAAUAAAAUAUUCAUUUAUAAUGUCUUCUAUUUAUCAAUUUAUAUUUGUUAAAGUAAUACUAGAUUCUAAGUUUAAAUAUAAAUAAUUUAUUAUGAAAGUAUAUAUUUUUAAUUUCAAUAAUAAAUUGUAAUUUAAUAGUUUUUAAUUAAAUUUUAAUUUUUUUUUAAAAAUUAACUAGCCUUAGUUAACAAUUGAAACUUUAAUUUAAAACUGAAACCUCAGUUGACAAUUGAAGUUUUAACUAAAAUGAUGAAAAAAAAAAAUUUUAUGACAUGACUCUUAUGUGGCAUCAAAGAGACCAAUUUGAAUAUAUAUAUAUAUAUAUAUAUAUAUAUAUAUAUAUAGAUAUAUAGAUAUUAUAAAUGGGCCAUUUUGAACCAAAACUCGUAGCAACCUUGUUUGUACCAUUAGAACAAGAAAAUGAGACCAUACUAACAAAGAAAACACUAUAAGAACAAACAUAUGUUCAACUAAAGUUCAUGAUAUAUAGAACUUCCGAGAUAACACAGAUUGAACUAAAGGGGAAAGGACAAGGGGGCACAGGAACUUCAACAACUCUUUCAAGCAUCAGUAUUACCAUUCCCAUGUAGGGCCUCAAAGAAGGGUCCUCUUGGAUGCACCAAAGGGCAACCAUCACCAUCCACUCCAUCAUCGCCAUCUCAUUUCUUGUUUCAUCAUCAUUCUUCACUAGCUUAUCCAAUCUGUGCCCUCUAUAGCAAUCAUAAGCUCAAUCAGUUAGUAUUACUUCCUCGUCAUUUUCCGGCUGUGAAUGUUGAAAAGCACAGAAAUGGAAACAAGGACACAUAAUUUGCAUUUGAAACUGAGGGCAGUUUCAAUAGUCUGAACUAAAGGGGAAAGUACAUGGAGGCGCAGAAACAUCAACCAUGCCUUCAAGCAUCAGUUUGACAAUUCUCAUGGAAGGCCUUAAUGAAGGGUCCUCUUGAAUACACCAAAUUGCUACCACCACUAACCUCUCCAGCCCUCUGUAGACCCUCAAUUUUGUUCCUUUAGCACAUGUCUUUAAAUUCGUUUUCAAUGCUCCACAAUAGUUCCUUGGUGGCCCAUGGCUACUCAUACCACUUACCUUUUUCUAAGUCACCUCGGAGAUUUUGGUUGAGGGAUUAUUUGAUCCUUUAUUGUGACCCUUGGCAGCCCUAACUUAGACUUAGGCUUUUCUUGUUUUUUUAGGAUAGCUUUUAGAUACACUUGGCCCAUUAGGCACUACCCUAGGCCCACUUAGUCUCACCUUAGGCCCGUUUAGGCACACUAGGCCUACGAAGACUUUUAUUUUAUUUUAUUUUAUUUUAUUUAUUUAUUUAUUUAUUUUGUUUUUAAUUUUAAUUUUAUGAUUAUCAUUCACUUUUUAUUGGUUAUCUUCCUCUUUAUAUUAUUUUCCUUAACUUAUUUAUUUAUUUAUUAUUUUUACCAUUUUUUAAUUUAUUUACUUAUUUAUCUAUUCAUGCAAUUAUUUAACUUCAAAAAUUUCAUGUUUUUGCAAGGAAACUUACCAUUGGAGUUUAAGGAAGACGGGACUCUCCUUGGAAGGUUUUGGAGGGGAAGUUGAAAUUGGGAAGAUUGCUUUUGAUUGGAGGAUUUAAAAAAAGAAGAGAAGAAGAAAGGAAGGGGGAGAAUUUUCCUUUUUGGAAACAAAUUUAGGUCUUGAGGGGUGAUAUAUAUAGGUGAGAAAAGGAAAAGAAUAGAGAGAUUUUUCUUGGGGGGCAGAGCACACGGAAUUUUGGAAAAAAGCAAGGGACUUCGAACGGAGAUCGGGCUGUCAUUUAAUCAUCAAGAGAGGAUUUUCUCUUUCACUUCAAAGGUUAGUUUUCUAUAUAGUACUUUUAUUUAGCCUAGAUUUUUUUUUUUUUUUUUUUUGGAAAUUUUAGUUUUUGAUUAAUUCUUUGUGUUAAAGUUUAUAUUAUUUUCUUUUUAAAUCCCCAAUUAGUUUAAUUCUAAUCUAUCUUUUAGUUUAAGUUUGUUAAUGAUUUUAAUUCUUAAGUUUAAAUAAUCAUAUUGAAUAAAGUUUGUAUUUUUAAUCCCAAUUAGUUUGAUUUCAAUUCGUUUUUAAUUUAAAUGCAUUAGUUGAUCUUAAUUCUUUGUUUUAAAUAAUCACGUUAAAUAAAGUUUGUAUUUUUAAUCCCAAUUAAUUUGAUUUCAAUUCGUUUUUUAGUUUAAAUGUAUUUUGUUGAUCUUAAUUCUUUAGUUUAAAUAAUCAUAUCGAAUAAAGUUUGUAUUUUUAAUCCCAAUUAGUUUGAUUUUAAUUUGUUUUUUAGUUUAAAUGUAUUUUGUUGAUCUUAAUUCUUGACUUUAAAUAAUCACGUUAAAUAAAGUUUAUGUUUUUAAUCUCAAUUAGUUUGAUUCCAAUUCGUUUUUAGUUUAAAUACAUUUUAUUGAUCUUAAUUCUUAAGUUUAAAUAAUCAUAUCGAAUAAAGUUUGUAUUUUUAAUCCCAAUUAGUUUGAUUUUAACUUGUUUUUUAGUUUAAAUGUAUUUUGUUGAUUUUAAUUCUUAAGUUUAAAUAAUUGUAUUGAAUAAAGUUUGUAUUUUUAAUCCCAAUUAGUUUGAUUUCAAUUCAUUUUUAAUUUAAAUGCAUUAGUUGAUCUUAAUUCUUUGUUUUAAAUAAUCACGUUAAAUAAAGCUUGUAUUUUUAAUCCCAAUUAAUUUGAUUUCAAUUCGUUUUUUAGUUUAAAUAUAUUUUGUUGAUCUUAAUUCUUGACUUUUAAUAAUCACGUUAAAUAAAGUUUGUGUUUUUAAUCUCAAUUAGUUUGAUUUCAAUUCGUUUUUAGUUUAAAUACAUUUUGUUGAUCUUAAUUCUUAAGUUUAAAUAAUCAUAUCGAAUAAAUUUUGUAUUUUUAAUCCCAAUUAAUUUGAUUUUAAUUUGUUUUUAGUUUAAAUGUAUUUUGUUGAUUUUAAUUCUUUACUUUAAAUAAUCACGUUAAAUAAAGUUUGUGUUUUUAAUCUCAAUUAGUUUGAUUUCAAUUCGUUUUUAGUUUAAAUGCAUUAGUUGAUCUUAAUUCUUAAGUUUAAAUAAUUAUGUUAGAUAAAGUUCAUGUUUUUAAUCCCAAAAUAGUUUAUUUUUAAUUUAUUUGUUAGUUUAAAUAUGUAUGUGAUUUUAAUUUAUUAGUUUAAAUAAUCAUGUUAGAUAAAGUUUAUAUUUUUUUUUAAUUCUAAAUUAGUUCAGUUUUAACCUAUCUUUUAGUUUAAGUAUAUUUGUGAUUUUAAUUCAUUAGUUUAAAUAAUCUUGUUAGAUAAAGUUCAUAUUUGAAAUUCCGAUUUAGUUUAGCUUUUAUUUAUUUUUAAUUUGGAUGUGUUUGUAAUUGUAAUUUAGUAGUUUAAUUAAUCUUAUUAAAUAAAGUUCAUGUUUUUAAUUACAAUUUAAUUUAGUUUUAAUUUGUUCUUCACUUGUAUGUGUUUGUGAUUUGAAUACAUUAGUUUAAUUAAUCCCGUUAGAUAAAGUUUAAUCUUGAUUUAAUUUAUUUUUUUAGUCUAGAGGCAUUUAUGUGUUUAGUUAAUCUUAUGUUAAUUAUGGAUUGUUAUUCUCAAUUUAUGCGCUUCUUGAAUCCUUGUUGCUAAUUCUUGAUGGAUAUUUCAUUAGCUUAUUUGAUCUAAAUAUUAAUAAUUUAUUGCUUUGAUAGUUUCCUUUUUGUUCAAAGGCCAUUGGAAAAUCAUGAAGAUUGGCCUCUACCAUCACCAUUAUCAUUUUUGUUAAUUAUUAAAAAAAUUUUACUUUGAGGUUUCAUUUUUGUUUUGUUGGGUAUUUUAUUUCUUAUAUUUUAUUUUUUCCAAAUUAAUUCCUUUUAUUUUAAAAUAAAAUACUUUUCUCAAAAAAAUCAUUUUAAAAAUCUAUUUCAAAAACUCAUUUAGAGUCCUCAGGAUCAAAAUCUCUUUUUUUUUUUUUUUAUUAUUUAAAAAUAAUAUGAAACCAUAUCUUGUUCGGUUUGCAUCAUUCUCGGUUUUUAACAAAAAUUUUGGUUUUGAACAAAGACACGAAUCAAAGCUUGUGGUCCCACAUAAAUGGGAUAAUUCUGAGCUAAAUUCGUGUAUAUCAAUUGGGGAAUUGGUGAAACCCCUACAUAAGAAAAUCUUUUCAAAAAUUAUUUUUGUUGCCAUUUUUGUCACUUGUUGAAAUUAUGUCUAUCUUUUUUAGGAAUUGUAUAUAAGAUGUGUGUGAUAAUUAAUGUUUUCAUAUACUUUGAUAAUUUUUGUUAUGCCAAUUAGAUAACAAGCAUGCUAGGGUUUCUUUAUUUUAUUAUUAUCUAAUCCCUCAUGUCUUAUGGGAGCGCAUUGUAAGUUAUUUAUGCUAUCCAGGUACGCCCCCCCCUAUCGCCUACUUUCUAAAUUUUGUAAACAAUCGUGUCACUAUGAAGUAUGCAUAUGUUUGAUAAUCCUUAGGUGUUUAGAUGUGUGUUAUACUUCUAUACUAACUCUGAUGUUUUAUGAUAGCGCUUGAGAAGCGGUCCGGGUACGCAUCCUAACCUUUCUUUUAUGGCAAUUUGAUCUUGUUUAGCAUGCAAAUCUUUUGAAAUCACCUAGCCUACUUAGUAUCCAUAAUUAACCGAUUAAUUGCCAUAUUCCCCUUAACUUAAUUAGUAGAGACCUCUUUAGGGCUUAGAGGGGUGCUACCUCCUAGAGGUACCUUCCCAAUAAGUAACCUGAUCCCCGGACCAAGACUUGGGUUUUCGAAGACACGCUUUUCCAAAAAUUAUGGAGUCAUUUUUUUAGGGUUUUAUUUCUUGUUUUAUUUUCCCUUCAAAAAUAAAAAUAAAAUAAGUGGCGACUCCAACUUUUUUUAAAAUUAAUUUUUCACAAUAAAAAGUGAGUCUCGCCGAUCGAGUGGGGACGCACGUGAAAAAUGCGGGUCCACACCCUCCUCAUGUCAGUUCUUGCCUCAUCAUCAGUCUCCACAAGCAUAUCCGAUUGGUGACCUCUAUAGCAAUCAUAAGCCAAUCAGGAAGGAUGGCUUCCUCUUCAUCUUCUGUUUGGAAAUCAAUGCACCUCCUGCAACAAAUGAUUUCCAGUAACAUGACCCCCAUAACUAUAAGCGUCUAUUUUUGCUGUAAUUGACUUGCUCUUGAACCAUUCUGACACAAGUCCCUCUGAUGGUUAUAAGUGCCUGAGUUUCAUCACUCAUCACAAGUUUUGUCAAUCCAAAAUCGGAAAUCCUUGCUGUGAAUGAAUCAUCCGGAGGACAUUUUGAGGCAUGAUGUCACAGAGGAUGAUCUGUGUGCUACACUCCUGAUGCAAGUACAUCAGCUCUCUUGCAAUCUCAAAUCCCAUUCGAAAGUGGAUAUUUCUUCUUCCAGAAGGUUUCUUCUUUAAUUUAAAGACAGCAACCACACAAUUGUAGUCAUAUACAUAAGAUAUCCAGCAGAGGUCUUCACCUAAGCAUUCUAUCUUCUCAAAGUUUGCAGUGGCAGUCCAAACUAUGUUAAGACUUCUCUUGUAAGUUCUCUGGGUUUGAACCUUCUCCUUGUUCACCUUUUUGUACCAUCUUCAGCUUGCAGCCAUUGGGCUUGUUGUAUGGAUCAACAAGGGAAAACCCAAAAAGACACUCACAAAUUAGUCUUCCUUUUGAGUCAGGUAUGCAGUAACUGUUAAUUAAAGCCACAACUCUCAGUCUCCCACCUCCCAAAUCUACCUGAAUCUCAGAGCAAAUGUCCUUUGGGUGUAUUAGGACUGAACCCAGCUUCUCUUUCUCUGGAGCUUGGGCGAGUAUAUUUUCUGAAAACUCCAUCAAAAUCCAGCAUUUCCCAGUAGUAGUAAUCUCUGGUUGAAUCUGCACUUCCUGACAUGAGGAUAGCACUCCCUCUGUUUCGUAGAACAACAUGAAGGUGAUCCGAAUCAUCAAAAAUCAUCCAUUCAUCAGAAUUGCUGCCAUUUCCAGAUUAAAGGUGUUAAGGACAAAAUUUCCAUCAGGCAGCAAAAGAGGCUGGAACCUUCCCUUUGAGUAGUUGCCUUCAUCUUACUGAGAAGACGCAAUGCCACCACUUUCUAAUAUUUUAGUUGGCAAGAUGGUAUCAAGCAUGGCGGCGUAAACAACCCCAUUAACACCAGACCCAGCUUUCCAUAUGACUUGGUCCUGACCAUCAAGUGUUAACUGACCAUCAAUCAUAAGCUCUACUUCAUAUUCCAAUUUUUUUUCCAGGGAUUUUGUCAACCAGAUAGUUAGCCUGCUCGUGGACGAAAUCCAAAAGCCAAGACCCUGAUGGCAAUUUCCAUGAAAAUGAGCAAUCAGAAGCCAGAAGAGACAAUCCUAAACUAGUAUUAUACUUGGUUUCAGCUACAGCAAGAAAUGGUAGAACAAAGAGAAGCAAGAGGCAUCCAUGGCCAACAACAGGAAAAUCCAUGUUGGUAUAGAGAAUUUGGAGAACUUGUUCAAAUUAUACCACACUUUUUAAGACGAAAAGAAGGUUGAUUGCAGAGACCCUAUGAUCAGAUUUGAAGAGUACACCAAUGGAAAGUUACUGAAUCCAUUAUCAAGCUAAUUACCUAUCAAUAUCUAAGGCUUGAUUUUCCAUUUUUAGUAGAAAAAAACUGUUCUGAGACAGUCAUAGAAGUCAAUAGUUUUCUUAUUGACGGAAAACAAAAAAUUAAAGAUAUGCCAUAAAUUCUUGUUUGGAACUCAAUCUUGAAAAAAAGUAUGUGGUUUAUUCCUUGUAAAGGAGUUCUAGUCUCUUGCAUAAAUCAACGUUUUGGUCUUCCAGGUGGAUCAUAUUUUUUGAUAUCUAGAAUCCACCAAGGUAUGUAGUAAGGCAUUUAUCCUAAUAGGUUGAUCCCUUACAAACAAAAAAGUGGCUCUUGACAGAAAAUGAUUAGGAAGGCAUGCAAGUAACAAAUACAAAUUAAAUAUAAUGUAAGAUUUUCAUGGAUUAAAAAAAAUACAUGGCAAAAUAGUAUAUAUUAUUUCAACCAGGGAACAUAUGUGAAUGUUGUAUUUUUUGAUAUCUAGAAUCCACCAAGGUAUGUAGUAAGGUAUUUAUCCUAAUUGGGGUUGAAACAAACCUGAAUGAUAUAAAUCCACCCCUCUAUCUUACAUCACUUCAAUACCGAAGAUACUCAGAACUCAGAACCUCGCUAAGUUAGAAGCAUAUGUAAAAGUUGUAUUCUAUUCCAUAAGGGAAACACUCUAUACUCAGUAGCAUAAACAAGCCCCGAAAGCCACUUAUCUCUUUUUUUUUUUUUUGGCCUUUUUACUUAUUCUCAUCUCUCAUGACCAGAAGUGCUAAGGAUGAUAUAACCUCAUCAAAUAAGUUAGAAACCAGCCCAUCUAGCAGGUUCAGUAGCUGACCUGCUCUCAAUCUUCUUUGAGUCACCAAUAAGCUGGGCAUUAUGCCUCCAACAGUGGGUCUGGAAAUAUUAGAGCUGGCAGCAGGGGUGGCUGUAAAACUCUCCUUUCCAAAACACCAAGUUUCAGGCCCAGAAGUUGCUUCUGUGGCUGGUUUGUUGUGAUGACCAUUUUCUGGUCCUAAACACUAUCCUUAUCCCUGGAAAGAGGCUGCUGCUGUUUGGGCUCAUCACCAAAAGCCUGCCAUAGCUUAGAGUCUGGUAAGGGGAAUCGGAUUUUCUGUGCUGGAGUUUCCAGACUGUUGCUUCAAUCUUUUCUCUCUGCUGUUAUGAGAAGAGAAAAUAUCAGGAAAAUGAAUCGAUGGAAGAAAUUGUUUUAAAUCCAAUAGGCAUGUGUGAGAAUAGGAGAUGAUACUGGAGGAGUAGCAGUUGACUGAAGUCCAGUUGAGGUUCAGUUUUUCAAAGCAUCACUGUGGGGUGAUGGAGUUCAAGCAGCAAGAGCUUGCUUGAGUUCCUGUAUCUUCUUCAAUGCCCAUUUAUUCAGGCUUCUUCAAGUGGCUUAUGAUUGGUGGAGGUGCUUCCAUAAUCCAUCAGGGUCCAAUGGAAGAUUCUCAGCUUUUAAGUCUCUGAAUCAUACAAUUAAGAAAAAUGAAGAAUGUCGAAUAAGACAAUACAAAUUUGUGGGCAGGACCGAAAAAUGAAGGAAUAGUGGGAAUAUCUAUUAAGAGCAUAAUAAAUGACAAAACUACCAUAUGACAACACAGCAAAAAAUUCAUAAACAGCCCUGAACAAACAAUAAAUUCUCAUUUUUUGAAUAGAGAAGAACCAUUAAAAUGUGCAGGAAAUGUUUUAAAGUAAAAUCUAUUAAAAACUUUCACUAAGACUUGGACUCUUUAACUUUCUUUUCAAAUAAUCUGAAAACCCCUGCUGAGAAAGAAUAAUGAGAACCAACUACUAUGGUUGCCGAUAGAAGGGUAGGGAUGGCAAUGAGAAUUCUGCUUGUGAGAAGAUAGAAAAAGAAGAUCGUCACUUCCUGGACCAUAACUAUAGUCCAAAAUGGGAUCCAUGACAUUGAUCUCAAUGAUCAUCUCCACCACAGUAGAAAAUAUACAGAAAUUCCUAGUCAAAGUCAAGACCUAAGGAAAGCCAAAACAAGAACAAAACAUUGCCAAAAUUGAAACAAAAACAAGAGUGCAUCAACUUCCAAACAAAGAUUUUUGUCUAUCUGCCUACCAUUUGAAGGUUGUCCACUUGGUUAGUGCAAAAUAGACUAGCUUUUGUUACAGAGACUGCCAAUCAAUGCAGAUUGCUAAACCAAAAGAGAGUUCAAACAACCAAGCAACCAAACAGUUUUCAAAAUGAUUAUUGUUGUUUACCUCACAUGUUUUUCUAUAGUCAUAACCACACUUUGUUUCUCAUAAGAAGUCUUCUAUGUUAAUCCUGGUUGCUUAUUACAAUAUACAAAAAGGAAAAGAAAAAAAACAAAAAGUAGUGAUUGAUUUAGUUUGAUAUUGAAAUGAACAGAGUCACAACAUGAACAUACACAAGUAUGAUAUCCUAAAAACAAUUUGCAAAAAUCCCUAACUAUUUAUCCAUAUAUUAUGCAAAUAUUAUUUACACACUUUACUUUAAUUCCAAGCAUAUUUCAAAAACCAUAAAUUACCUAAAAUGUAUCAACAAAUAGAGUUUGCUGCAUGCCCAAAUUCCCCACAAUAGGACUAGAAAAUUAUUUCUGUAGAAACAAAUUGAGAAGAUUGUGAGAUUUGGAUUGCAAAAGGAGGUCAAGACCUUUUCAAUGUAGAAGGUUUAAGUAAUUUUGUCUAUUAAACAGUGAGAUGUUUUUAGGCCAUUGAGAACAUGAACCAAAAUAAAGAAAACCUUUUUGCUUUAGUGAAAAAUAAGACAUUGAAAUGAUAUGCAAUCAUAAAUCUUGCAAUUUUGUAUAUUGCAGAUUUAAUUCUCCACUUCUAUUACACUGGAAAGAGAAUAGCAGCAAGAAAAGACCAAAGCAAUUAAAAUUACUUACUGCCAAAGCACAAUACGUCCCUGGUUUCCUCCAUGCCUGUAUAAGAGAAAAUAGACCAAGAAAGUGAGAAAAAACCGAAGCAUCCAUGGUUUUCCAUAGUUUUCAAGUGGUUCACUUGGCUUAGGCACACCACCAAAUAAAAACAGCGCAUGAAAAUGAGAGUACCAUUAGAAUAUGACAACUAUCUGUAUCAAAAUGUGAGCACUUUGGUUCAAUCCUCCUCCACUCCUCUUCAAUAUUUGUUUCAGACUUGAAGCCUCGAAGAAAAAAGAAAUCUCUAGCACACCUGCCACCAUUAAAAAAGUCAGCCUUGGAAAACAGACAUAAAAUUCCUCACCUAAUGUUGACAUGGACUCAAACUAUCUAAAGCUAACCUAAAUUCAUGGAGAUCAAUGGCCAAUCAAGCAAAGCACAUGCCUGUGUGAUGUUUGGUUGAUCAUCUGGAGAAGCUUGGAUCAUGUCCAUCAUUAGAUCUGUCACAUAGGAGCUGCAUGUUGGUAAUUGUCGAAUGAGGAAGUUUCCAUUUGAGAUAAUAGAUGGUGAGAAAUAUAUAGUCAGAAAAAUAAUAAAGCACAUAACCUGAUAUUCUAUUGAUUGAUUCACCCAUUCACAAAUCAUUAGAAAGACUGGAAAUAUAGAAGAGCAAAUUUUCUAAUUCAAGGAGAUGGUGAAUAAUCUUAGAAUCAUCAUUUCUAUACAAAAUCAGGAAGUUCAAUGAGGAAAUUGCACUCAACCACUUUUAAGAUAAGAACAUCGAAAUGGAAAACAAAGCUUCAAAAAAGUCUUAAAGUCUAGAACAAUUUAAUUGAAAUAUUCUUCUCAGGAGUUUCACAGUAUAAACCUCCAUUAAGACCUGGACUCUUUAAUUUUCUUUUCAAAGAAACAGAUGACUUGGAUAAACAAUGAGAACCAAUGCCCAUGGUCACUUACACAAGUGUAUGCAUGACCAUGACAAUUCUUCUAAUGAGAAGCUAGCACAAGAAGACUGCCACCUCAAGGAUCCAUGUCAAUGACCUCGAUGAUCAUCUGCAGGGCAACAAAAAAUAUACAGAAAUUCCAACUCAUAGUCAAGAUCUAAGAAAUUCCAAAAGAAGAACAAAACCACGUCAAAAUUGUGACAAAAACAAAUUCAGCAGCUACCUAACAAAAAUUUAUGUCUUUCUAGCUACUAACCUCUUGAAGUUGGUCCACUUGGUUACUGCAAAAUAAACAGCCUUUCGUAAUAAGGACUCCAAAUAAGCUAAGGCUAUUAAACCAAAAGAGUGUUUAAACAAAUAAAAAAUUGACCAAUUCAGUGCCAUAAAAUACUUCAUAUAAAAUUAUUGCUUUAGAAAUUGCAACUUUCUAAAUGAUCCUAGAUUUAAAUAUACAUUAGCAUAAAAUUGCAGUUGUUUACCUCACAUGUUUUUCUAUUGUCAUAAUCGAACUUUGUUCCUCAUAAGAAGGCAUUUAUGUUCAUCUUGGUUACUUAAUAUGGAACAUGUAUAGAAAAGAAAAAGAAAAACAAAAAGUUAGUGAUUAAUUUAGUUUGAUAUUGACUGGAGAAAAGUCACAAAAUAUGCAUAUGCAAGUAUAUUAUCCUCAAAACCACUGGCAAAAGGCACCAAGUACCCAACUAAGAACAUACUCGAUUAAACAUGAAUUACCUAAAAAUGUAUCCACAUGUUCCUGUGCAUGUGCAACAUAAAUACCCAGAUGGUUAGUAUCAUUUUUGCCCAUUCCGAAAGGUAAAUUGAAGAAGUCAAGGAAAUAAGAAAAUGGGCUUUGUUAAAAUACAAAUUACCUGGGAUCAAUCUUCCUUUCCCUUUUUUUUUUUUUUUCUUCCUCUGCUGGAGAACUUCUGAAAUCAAACAAAUAGAGUUUGUUGCCUGCCCAAAUCUUCAACAACCGGACCAGCCAAUAACUUGUGUAGAUGUACAAUUCUUCAAGAGUGUCAAACAGAUUAAAAGCCUUUGAAUGCAAAAAGGAGGUCAAGACAUUAACAAUGUAGAAGAUUUAAAUAGUUCUGGUAUCAAACAUAAUAAAAUUGAUUAAACAAAACCUUAAACAAUGAGGUAUUUUCUUCUAAACAGGAUGAGCUCCAUCAUUGUGUGAGCUAUUGAGAAUAUAAAAAAUAACGGAAUCAUAAGCAAUUAAAAUUACUUACUAAUAAGCAGCGAACUAGAAUGCAUCCAUGGUUUCCUCCAUGCCUGUAUAAGAGAAAUGGAAAAAGAAAGUGAGGAAAAACCAAGGCAUCCAUGUUUUUCCACAGUAAAUAAAAUUUGUGUUCACUUGGGUUAUGCAUACUGCCAAAUAAAAACAGAGCAUGAAAAUGUGAGUUCCAUUAAAAUAUGGGAAUUGUUUGUGUCAAAAUGUGAGCACCUAGGUUGAAUCCUCAUCUACAACUCCUCAAUAUUCGUCCCAGACUUGAAGCUUCAAGGAGACGAAAUUCUUAAAUCAAAUAAAUGGAGCCAAUGAAUCAUGUAGACAUAUUUUUUAGAUUAGAAAUUGGAACAUAAAUUUUCUAAAGAAUAAGUUUAAGCAUAGAACAAUUACCGCCACUUUCAUUAAAAUAGUUCAUUGAUGAUUAUAUUUGGAAUGUGAGAUAUAUAACACCAUUCUGGCCCUUUCUCAAAUUGGCACUGUUGUUUCAGUAAAGGACAUGGGUCCACAAUCAGACAAGAGACGGAGUCCGACAAUCUCUUUCUUGUCAAGUAUUGGAACUCACGGCAGCUGUAGAUAUGCAAGAUUUCAAGAGUGGUGAGGUAGUGAAGACCCGCUUCUGUCAAGGAUUGGAGCCUUGGGCAGUGCUGGAUUUGUAAUUCUUUGAGAGACACAAGGUGUUGAAGAACAGAUCCUGUCAAGGAUUGGAGCUCAGGGCAUUUCCUGAUGUCUAAUUUUACAAGAGAGGUGAGUUGUUGAAGCCCCUUGCUAUCAAGAGACUUGAGAUUUGGAAGACCAUAGAUUGCAAGAAAAGUCAGAGAAGAGGGCAGCAGGCACUCCUUGGGAAAUAAUUCCACGUCUUCACAUCCACCAAAGAUUGUGAAAUGAGUAAGAGAGGCCAGUCUUUGCAAAUCCCAGUCCACCUGGAACGUGAGUUGGUUGCAGAACCAAAUUUGAAGUUCACGUAGGCUGGAAGGCAAACCCUCUUUGUGAAACAACAAUUCUGGACAAUACAUUAAACUCAGUUUCUGCAGAGAUGAAUGGGUGUGCGCCAGCAAUUUGAGCUUGGAGCAGUUGUGAAUUUCAUGGGACACCGAGUCGAGAGCGGGCAGUUGGAUGUAUACAAGAUUAGCGCACCCCUUGAUUUCCAAUUUACGAAGAGAUGUAGGAUCCCCCUCUGAAAUCGAAAUGUAGAGCUUCUCAAGCCCCUUAAGACCAUUGAUUGUGAAAUUAGUCAACCUGGGGGAGAUGUCCAAUAUUGAGAAGGAUAACGGGAGAGAAUUAUCGUAGGUACCGCCAUUGAUCGAUAGAUUUUCAAGGGUAGGGUGAUGACAUCUGAACAACUCAGGUAGAAGAAGGUCCAAUUUGGUACAAUUAGAGAUUAAUAGCGAUUCAAUGUAGUGGGUAAGCCACCUUUGCUUGGGGAUCCGUAAAAAGAGCAAUCACAAAAUUCCAAACUGUACAUGUUGGUUUGCAGGAUUUCCCCCUCUAGUAGAGACUCCACAGAAUCAUACUUUGUAAUGGAGAGAUUGUGGGGUACCACUGGAAGUUGCUUCAACCGAGAGACGUUUGAAAUUUCAAUUUCUGAAGUUUGAAGAGCUGUAAAGCCACAAGUUUGCCUUUUCAACUGCAAUAUGUGUAAAUCCUAAGUUUCAUUAUCCACUCACAACCAUAUAGAUAUUGUUUAUUUUGGGUCUAAUAAGACCUCAUAACUUUAAAAUACGUUUACAUGAUUAUAAACAACUCAUACAUCAGACAAAGGUCAAAAAUUGACUUUCAUACUAUUUCUUACAAUCCAUUCUCUCUUAUAUAAAUAUUAUCUAUUCUGGAUCUAAUGAGCUCUUAUAGUUUUAAAACACACUUAUAUACUUAAAAAAAUUCAUGUACAUAUGGUAUAUAUGAGAAACUUUUAUACCAAUAUGAUGUGAGAUAUCCCACUAAAAGAGUAUUAACAAGUCCAUUAAUAAAACUCAUUUGAAGAAUUAAUGAAUUAUCAUGCAAGUACUAAUAUCAAAUGAUGUAGAACCACAUACAUUCCUAAAAGUUUAAGCUAAUGGGAGGUAGAGAUAGAUCUUAUAUCCUGUUGAUUACUAAUAUUGGUUGGAUUGACCUUAUAUAUAUAUAUAUAUAUAUAUAUAUAUAUAUAUAUAUAUAUAGACACAUACGUAGGAGGAAAGAAAGUUCAAUAUGAGCAAUUUUAUUUACCCAAGUUCUGACUUUGCAAGGAGCCGGGUAAUAAAACUAAAGUGGUCUACAUCCCUAAACUCACUGUUAUGAGUAGUAAGACCAUGAACCCAAUUAGAUGUGAAUAACAUUUUCUAUCGAGAGAUGACAUAUACCCAUGUAUGCCUCCACCCCACUCAUUAAAACCCCCCAGCAUGCAUACCGUGUGCAUGCAGUGUGCCAUCCAUGGAUAGAUCCUGUCCUUUUGGAGGAACACACAAUGACCAGCCCUGUAAUUGGAAUUUUGUCAAUCAAUACAGCACCUUCAGGACCAUGACCACAUGGCAUGACAGCAAGAAAUAGCUAGCCCUACAAACUAAAGGACCCACGAAAUGGACCAUCUAAUAACAAAAUACCAAGUCUAGCUACCCAGAAGAUGUGGUUGUCUUCCUUGUUUCUUUUGGUGGAAAUCAGAAUAAACCAGAUCACCAAACUUGUGGGCAGCCUGACUUUCAUAUAUAUACUCUGACCAUUCAGUUUGGUUUCUCCAAUAUUUACCAAAAUGAAAACCCCAAUUAAGAAAUCGAAGACGAGGAAUCUUAUAUAUGACUAAGCAUCCAUCACAACGGAAAUCUUAAACAUUGAUUGAAAUAUAAACAAGAACACAGGAAACUGUAUUUUUCAUACAUGAUAAAAAAGUGCAAUAAUUCAAGAUGAACUGAUAAAAAUUCCAAAGGGGCGUGGGGGCACAGAAACUUCAACUACACCCUCCAACAUCUGUGUAACCUUCCUCAUGGUUGAUGUCACGCCCCAAGACCCACUCCAAGGGUGUGACGGUCAUUUCACACCUCAAACCCGAAGGCUUAAAGUAUAAUCUGACCCAAACAGUCAUAUUGUAACUGGAUGUUACCAAUUACCAAAUACCUGCUCAGAGUAGCGGAAACAAAAUCUAAAAUCCUCAAAAUUCAAUUUCCAAAUAACUUCCAAAUACCAAAUGAUCCAAAAUAACAUAACUAAUAGUUAAACAAAAUCCAACAUAAAAUCCUAAGUCAAAUCCUAAUGAUGACCAUUCCUCAGCCUAGCCAUCACUCCUCACCCGAACUAAGAGUACCUGAAAAAUUUUCAACAAUUGGGAAUGAGCUCACAGCCCAAUAAGGAAUAUUAAUGCAGUUCAUGGAUCAAAUAUUUUCAUUUCAAAUAAGAGAUAUCAUUUUUUUUUUCUCAUCAAAUAUCAGAGUUUCAAAAAUACCAAUAUAUUCAAAAUUCAACCAACCAAUUUCAUAUCAAAUUCAAACACUUUCACAUAAGAUUCAAUCAAAUCCAUUCAAAUUUUCAUUACUCUGGUUAUCAAAUAUCAAAUGCCCAGUUAGGUGGGACUUUUCAAAUGGGUGGCUAGCCUCAGAUUGUUCCUGGUGGACGAAACCAAACACUACUAGUACUAGUAACCUCUAACCAAACCCCUAGAGGCUGGGGUCCAAAUCAAUUACAUUCCCACCAUGAAAUGUAAAGGUCAACUAUUAUAUCCCGUUGACAGGGCCGAAUAGUCAACUAUUAUUUCCCGUUGACAAGGGCCAAAUAAACCAGAGUGAUGUUCUUGUUCAAGUAUUCAAAUUUACACAACAUAUUAUCUCCAUAUUUUGUGUCAUAAAUAAAACAAAAUAUUUCAACAUAAUAUUUAGUGCAAAACAGUUUGAUCCAUGCAUGGUAACAAAAUAUCAUUUUCUUUUCCACAAUUCAAAAUAACAUAUAAAAUAAUUUAAUUUUAUAAAUAUUGCAUUAACUUCCCUUACCUCAAAAGAAGUCCUUGAAAGCUUGGGAGAAGAAUAAUUCUGAAAAAAAAUAUAAUCUACUCUUCACCUAAUAUAACAUAAGAGAAACAAUUAUUACUAUUUAUUUAUAAUUUAACAAAUCUAUUCCUUAUUUAAAUAAAACUAAUAAAUUCCCAAUUUGUUUCUAAUAACACAUUACUAAUUUAAUUAAAUUAUAACUUUAUUUCAUUAUAAAAUUCUAUAUAUAUAUUGCUAAAUCUCUUAUUCUAUUUAUUACAAAAAUACCAUUAUUACUAUUAUCUUAUUUAUUAAUCUAAAACUAAAUAUCAUUUUUUUUUUUUUUUAUUAUCCAAUUCAAUAGCUACCUAACCAUUACUCAUUCUCGGGUACACACCAAAAAGCAAGUUUUUUUUUUUUUUUUUUUUUUUGCCUAAUGAUGAUUCAUUAUAUAUAUAUAUAUAUAUAUAUAUAUAUAAGCCUCCAUAGCCCUCUGUCAUGCCCCACCUGCUUUUUUUUUUUUUUUCCUUCCUUCUUCCUUCCGGUGUGCACACGUGUCUCUUCUUUUCUUAUCAUUAUUAUUUUUUUUAUUAACUUUUUCUAAUCCCUUCCACCACAAAUAACAAUAUAUUUAUUUACUCUUUUUUUUUUUAAAUUAACCCUAAUCUAAAAUCGAAACCUUCCAAGGAACCCCUUUUUUUUUUUUUUUCAUCUAAUAAAACUUAAGAUCUCCCAAAUUCCAAUACUAAAAUCAAAAUCUUAGAUUUUCACUAUUUGAUAUUAAAACGAAUAAAAAAUAAUCUAACCCUAAUCUAGAUUUGGGGUUUUCCAAAAAAAUAUAUCUAAUGUGUUUGAAAUUAAUCAAUGAAUCUAAAAUAUUAAACUAGGGGUUAGAAUCUUACCUAUAGAGAUCUGUUCUUCAACCCUGAAAUCUGACUCCAACCUUACAUUCUCUGGAAUUCUACGAACAGGAACUCUAUUCAGAAAAGAAGGGAAAUAAUAAAAUUUCUAAUUUAUACCUAGGGUAUUUAUUUGUAAAAUUACACUUUUAGCCCUCUUCCACUUUAUUAAAUUAAUUAUUUAACUAAUUAAAUUAUUAAUAACAAUUUCCUAAAUUACCCUUAAAAGAAAAUGUCUGGGCGUUACAUCCUCCCCUCCUUAACAAAAGUUUAGUCCUCUAAACUUGACAUACCUGAGUCUUGGAAUAAUUGAGGAUGUUUUUCUCUCAUCUCUUCUUCUAACUCCCAAGUGGCCUCUCGGAUACUAUGAUUGCUCCACUGGACCUUUACCAACUUGACAAUAGCAUGUUGUAGUACCUUAUCCAUCACAUCCACAAUUUGAACGGGUACCUCUUCAUAGGUCAAGUCUUCAAAAAUUUGAAUAGGCUCCAACUCCACAACAUGAGAAGGAUCAUAAAUAUACUUCCUUAGAGUCGAAACAUGAAACACAUUAUGAACCUUAGACAGACUUGGGGGUAAGGCUACUUUAUAUGCCAAAGUGCCUACUCUUUCUAAUAUUUCAAACGGACCCACAAAACGAGGACUAAGUUUUCCUUUUCUCCCAAAUCUCAUCACAGACUUCAUAGGUGAAACUUUCAAGAACACAUGAUCACCCACCUCAAACUCCAAAUCUCGCCUACGAUGAUCAGCAUAACUCUUAUGUCUAUUUUGAGCUGCUUUUAAUAUUUCUUUAAUCAAAACAACUUUUUCAACAGUCAACUGCACAAGUUCAGGCCCCAAAAGUUUCCUUUCUCCAACAUCAUUCCAACAUAUAGGAGAUCGACAUUUCCUACCAUACAAUGCCUCAAAAGGUGCCAUCCCAAUGCUAGCUUGAAAACUAUUGUUAUAGGCAAACUCUACUAAAGGUAAAUGAUCAUCCCAAUUACCUUGCAGGUCCAAAAUACAAGCUCUCAACAAGUCUUCCAAAACCUGAAUUACCCUUUCUGAUUGGCCAUCAGUUUGAGGAUGGAAAGCAGUACUAAAACUCAACUUAGUGCCCAAAGCUUUUUGUAGACUAUGCUAGAAUCUAGAAGUGAAACGAGGAUCUCUGUCAGACACUAUAGAAACUGGUACUCCAUGCAUUCUCACAAUCUCCUUCACAUAAAGAGAAGCUAAACGAUCUAAAGAAAAGUUGACUUUCAUAGGCAAAAAGUGAGCAGACUUUGUCAACCGAUCAACAAUCACCCAAAUAACAUUAUUACCCCCUAAGGUUCUUGGCAAUCCUAUCACAAAAUCCAUGGUAAUAUGCUCCCACUUCCACUCAGGAAUAGCAAGUGGCUGUAAAGACCCUGCUGGUCGCUGAUGUUCAGCCUUCACCUGUUGACACACUAAACACUGAGCCACAAAUUGUGCAAUAUCACGCUUCAUACCUGACCACCAAUAGUUUUGCCUCAAAUCCUUGUACAUCUUUGUCUCUCCUAGGUGGAUUGCAAACUUGGAACAAUGAGCUUCCUCUAAAAGCUCCCUCCUUAAGUCUUCAUCAUUUGGGACACAAAGUCUAGUCCCAAAUCUCAAGAUCUCAUCAUCUGACAAAACAAAAUCAGGCUUACUGCCCCUCUUAACUUCCUCCAUAACUUGCACUAAUUGGGAAUCAUUCUUUUGUAGGGUCUUAAUUCUCCCAACUAAGUCUGUUGUACUCUGAAAUUUGCUACAAGUGCUCCUAAGCCCAUAACUCGAAAGUGGACUUGUAAACUCCUCAACUCUUCAAGUAACUGCCUUUGACAACCUCUAAUAGCUGCUAGAGAACCAACUGACUUCCUACUCAAGGCAUCAGCUACAACAUUCGCCUUCCCAGGAUGAUACUGAAUAAUACAAUCAUAGUCUUUAAGUAGUUCUAUCCAUCUUCUCUGUCUCAUGUUCAACUCCUUUUGGGAAAAUAGAUACUUCAAAAUCUUAUGAUCUGUGAAUAUCUCACAAGUUUCACCAAAAAGAAAAUGUCUCCAAAUCUUAAGUGCAAAAACCACAGCAGCUAACUCCAAAUCAUGAGUAGGGUAAUUCCUUUCAUAAGGCUUCAACUGUCUAGAAGCAUAAGCUACAACUCUCCCAUGCUGCAUAAGAACACAACCCAAACCCUGAUGAGAGGCAUCACUAUACACCACAAAUCCUCCUGAACCUGAAGGGAUAGUCAAAAUAGGAGCUGACACUAAUCUAUUCUUCAACUCUUGGAAGCUACAUUCAUAAUCAUCAGACCACUCAAACUUAACUCUCUUUUGUGUCAACUUAGUUAAAGGUAGGGCAAUCUUAGAGAACCCUUCUAUAAACCGCCUAUAGUAACCAGCAAGUCCCAAGAAACUUCGAAUCUCAGUCACAGUACUAGGUCUUCUCCAAUUAGCUACAGCAUCUACCUUGCCAGGGUCAACUGAGAUGCCAUCAUUGCUUACCACAUGCCCAAGGAAAGAAAUUCGGUCUAACCAAAACUCACACUUCUUCAGUUUAGCAUACAACUGCUUAUCUCUGAGGGUCUGUAAUACAAUACUCAAAUGGCCCUCAUGAUCCUCUCUACUCCUUGAGUAUACUAAGAUGUCAUCUAUAAAAACCACCACAAACUGAUCUAAAUAGGGUUUGAAUACCCUAUUCAUCAAGUCCAUAAAAGCAGUAGGUGCAUUAGUCAAACCAAAAGGCAUAACAAGAAACUCAUAGUGCCCAUACCUAGUUCGAAAAGCAGUCUUGGGUACAUCUUCCCCUCUAACCCUCAAUUGGUGAUAACCUGAUCGAAGAUCUAUCUUAGAGAACACACAAGCACCUUGUAGCUGAUCAAACAAAUCAUCAAUCCGAGGAAGGGGAUACUUGUUCCUCACUAUCACCUUAUUCAACUCCCUAUAGUCAAUGCAAAGUCUCAUUGAGCCAUCCUUCUUUUUCACAAAUAAAACAGGAGCUCCCCAAGGUGAAACACUAGGCCUGAUAAAACCCUUGUCUAAUAACUCCUGAAGCUGAACUUUCAACUCCUUAAGCUCCACAGGUGCCAUCCUGUAUGGGGGCUUAGACAUAGGACCUGUUCCUGGUACCAGAUCGAUGGUGAACUCCACCUCUCUCUCUGGUGGCAAGCCAGGCAAAUCCUCUGGAAAGACAUCAGGAUACUCCCUUACUAUGGGUAUGUCUUCCAACUUCAAAUCACUUUCAUUACUCAUCACACUAGCCAAAAAUCCUUGGCAACCCUUCUUGAGCAAGCUACUAGCUCGCAAGGCUGAGAUCAUACGCAGUGGUCUAUCCACAUGCUUUCCUUCAAAGCUAAACUUAGGCUGACCAGGAAUACUAAACGUCACCCUUUUCUCAAAACAGUCAACAGAGGCAUGGUAGGAAGCUAACCAAUCCAUCCCCAAAAUCACAUCAAAAUCCUGAAGGUCAAGGAGUACUAAGUCAACUGGCAUUUCCCUAUAACCAAUCAUCACAAUACAAUUUCUAAGCAUUCUACUGGCCACAACAGAAUCUCCCAUAAGAGUAGCAACAAUCAAAUCAAAGUCCAUGCUAGCAACAGGCAAACCCAACAAACCAGCAAAAGAUUCUAAAACAAAAGAGUGUGUUGAUCCAGGAUCAAUCAAGACUCUAGCAAAUAAGGUGUGGAUUCGAAGAGUACCUGUCACCACAUCAGAAGUGGCCUGAGCAUCAUGAUGAGUCAUAGCAAACACCCGUCCUUGGGCUUUGGGUUUCUGUUUAUCCUCCUUAUUUUCCUCUUUAGGCUUUCUAGUGAUGAACUUCCUAUUCUCUGGACAAUCUCUGAUCAAAUGUCCUUGCUUCCCACAACCAAAGCAAGCUCCAGUCUCUCUAUAGCAUGGCCUACCCCCAUGCUUCUUACCACAAGUAGGACAAGCCCCAUCUAAAUUCUGCGCUGCCUUCCCUUUAUUCUGAUUUCUUCCUGAUGUAGACCUUCAUUGUGCUUGAUUACCAUGAGCACCAUCACUCCUAUUUCGCUUCCUUUGCUGUUCCCUAUACUGAUGAAGCUCCUCAUUAUCUUUCUUUGCUAUAAGGGCUCUGUCAACAACCUCUGAAUAGACACCAAGCUUCAGAAUAGAUAUCUUGUUCUUCAAAUAAGGCUUCAACCCAUCCUGAAACUUUAAUGCCUUUUCCUCCUCUAUAGCAAUCAACUGUGGGGAAAAACGUGAUAAAUCUGUAAAUUUGGCCUCAUACUGAGCCACAGUCAUAUCCCCCUGUUCCAAACGAAUAAACUCUCCCACCUUUUGCCGCCUAACACUGUCAGGGAAAUACUUCUUGUAGAAAGCCUCCCUAAAUUGUCUCCAUGUUAUGGGUCCCUGAUCCUCCAAAAGUCUCUUAGUCAUACGCCACCAAUGAUCUGCCUCUUUAUCUAACAUAAAAGCUGCAUAAGAGGCUUUUUGCUCCUCAGAGCAAUCUAUGACACCAAAGAAUUUCUCCAUCUUAAGGAUCCAAGCCUCUACCUCUGUGGGAUCUGUAGCACCAGAAAAGUAAGGAGGACCCAAUUUCUUGAAGUCAUCAAAAGAGCUACCCCUAGAAGAUGAAGACUGUCCCUGAACAUUAGUCCCAACAGCUCGAGCUUGGCGUUCAACUAAACCAGCUAGUGUCCCAAGAUACCUAUAGAUCCCUUCUGCACUCACGGGAGGCAAACCCUCAACUGGAGGUACAUCAUCAUUAGCCUGACUGUUUUGGGAAGAUGCAGGUCUUCUUGGUGGCAUGGUGUCCUAUAAAGCAAUAGGUGUAACUAAAUUAGUCACUAAAAAGUCAAAUAAGUAAAUCAGAAUUGUAAGGAAUAAAAGGAAUCAGACUAGAUGAAGUUAAAACUUAAACUAAUACGUCACUCAUCUAUUCCCAAAGGUACACUAAACAAGUUCCCAUCAAGAUCACAACCUAGUGCUCUGAUACCACUCUGUCACGCCCCAAGACCCACUCCAAGGGCGUGACGGUCAUUUCACACCUCAAACCCGAAGGCUUAAAGUAUAAUCUGACCCAAACAGUCAUAUUGUAACUGGAUGUUACCAAUUACCAAAUACCUGCUCAGAGUAGCGGAAACAAAAUCUAAAAUCCUCAAAAUUCAAUUUCCAAAUAACUUCCAAAUACCAAAUGAUCCAAAAUAACAUAACUAAUAGUUAAACAAAAUCCAACAUAAAAUCCUAAGUCAAAUCCUAAUGAUGACCAUUCCUCAGCCUAGCCAUCACUCCUCACCCGAACUAAGAGUACCUGAAAAAUUUUCAACAAUUGGGAAUGAGCUCACAGCCCAAUAAGGAAUAUUAAUGCAGUUCAUGGAUCAAAUAUUUUCAUUUCAAAUAGGAGAUAUCAUUUUUUUUUUCUCAUCAAAUAUCAGAGUUUCAAAAAUACCAAUAUAUUCAAAAUUCAACCAACCAAUUUCAUAUCAAAUUCAAACACUUUCACAUAAGAUUCAAUCAAAUCCAUUCAAAUUUUCAUUACUCUGGUUAUCAAAUAUCAAAUGCCCAGUUAGGUGGGACUUUUCAAAUGGGUGGCUAGCCUCAGAUUGUUCCUGGUGGACGAAACCAAACACUACUAGUACUAGUAACCUCUAACCAAACCCCUAGAGGCUGGGGUCCAAAUCAAUUACAUUCCCACCAUGAAAUGUAAAGGUCAACUAUUAUAUCCCGUUGACAGGGCCGAAUAGUCAACUAUUAUUUCCCGUUGACAAGGGCCAAAUAAACCAGAGUGAUGUUCUUGUUCAAGUAUUCAAAUUUACACAACAUAUUAUCUCCAUAUUUUGUGUCAUAAAUAAAACAAAAUAUUUCAACAUAAUAUUUAGUGCAAAACAGUUUGAUCCAUGCAUGGUAACAAAAUAUCAUUUUCUUUUCCACAAUUCAAAAUAACAUAUAAAAUAAUUUAAUUUUAUAAAUAUUGCAUUAACUUCCCUUACCUCAAAAGAAGUCCUUGAAAGCUUGGGAGAAGAAUAAUUCUGAAAAAAAAUAUAAUCUACUCUUCACCUAAUAUAACAUAAGAGAAACAAUUAUUACUAUUUAUUUAUAAUUUAACAAAUCUAUUCCUUAUUUAAAUAAAACUAAUAAAUUCCCAAUUUGUUUCUAAUAACACAUUACUAAUUUAAUUAAAUUAUAACUUUAUUUCAUUAUAAAAUUCUAUAUAUAUAUUGCUAAAUCUCUUAUUCUAUUUAUUACAAAAAUACCAUUAUUACUAUUAUCUUAUUUAUUAAUCUAAAACUAAAUAUCAUUUUUUUUUUAUUAUCCAAUUCAAUAGCUACCUAACCAUUACUCAUUCUCGGGUACACACCAAAAAGCAAGUUUUUUUUUUUUUUUUGCCUAAUGAUGAUUCAUUAUAUAUAUAUAUAUAUAUAUAUAUAAAAGCCUCCAUAGCCCUCUGUCAUGCCCCACCUGCUUUUUUUUUUUCCUUCCUUCUUCCUUCCGGUGUGCACACACGUCUCUUCUUUUCUUAUUAUUAUUAUUUUUUUUUAUUAACCUUUUCUAAUCCCUUGCACCACAAAUAACAAUAUAUUUAUUUACUCUUUUUUUUUUAAAUUAACCCUAAUCUAAAAUCGAAACCUUCCAAGGAACCCUUUUUUUUUUUUUUUUUCAUCUAAUAAAACUUAAGAUCUCCCAAAUUCCAAUACUAAAAUCAAAAUCUUAGAUUUUCACUAUUUGAUAUUAAAACGAAUAAAAAAUAAUCUAACCCUAAUCUAGAUUUAGGGUUUUCCAAAAAAAUAUAUCUAAUGUGUUUGAAAUUAAUCAAUGAAUCUAAAAUAUUAAACUAGGGGUUAGAAUCUUACCUAUAGAGAUCUGUUCUUCAACCCUGAAAUCUGACUCCAACCUUACGUUCUCUGGAAUUCUGCAAAUAGGAACUCUAUUCAGAAAAGAAGGGAAAUAAUAAAAUUUCUAAUUUAUACCUAGGGUAUUUAUUCGUAAAAUUACACUUUUAGCCCUCUUCCACUUUAUUAAAUUAAUUAAUUAACUAAUUAAAUUAUUAAUAACAAUUUCCUAAAUUACCCUUAAAAGAAAAUGCCUGGGCGUUACAGUUGACCUUAGAGCUGCAUCCUCUUGAAUGCACCAAAUUGCCACCAUCACUAGCCUCUCCAACCUCUUCAUAUCAUUCAUAAGCUUCCACCAGCAUGCCAAUUUCCUUUGCACAAACCAUUCAUAAGCUCCAUCCAUUAGUGCAUCCUCUUCGUCUUCCUUUGCAAAUGCAACACUGGAAUUGCAGCAUAGGAUUUCUAGCGACAUUCCACCAUAGUAAGCAUCAACUUUAGCUGUGAUCGUUCCUUUCCUGAACCAUUUUGUUGCAAAGUAGCAUAUGGUCCGUCUUAUGCCACCUCCUCUUAAGAGUAGUUUAAGUUUGAUCAGCAAACAACAGCUUUGCUUGUUCAAAAUCUGAAAUCCUAGGUGUUAAGUGCCAAUCUGGGAGUAUUUUUUGGGGCUUUAUAUCACAAUGGAUGAUCUGGGUGCUGCACUCCUUCUGUGCAUUAGCCUUAUUACAACCCCAAAGGUGAGUAAAGAAGCCAUUGCUCAUGUAUUCAUGCACCAGAAGCUGACUAAAUUGGUCAAUCUCCUCUGCUCGAUAUUGCCUUGAAGCCAUGGGUGGCUACUUCAAGCUCUGUGUAUGAAUAAUGUGUCACAGUAGUAGUCCCCGCUUCCCCGGUAUGCUUGAAACAAACUGGAGACUGAUCAGUUUCUUACAGUAUCAAAAGACAGCAGCCACAGCUAACCACAAAAAGAGAUUGAAGAACACUACUGCCAAGGAGUAUUCUCAACAAGGAUCAAGGUAGACUUAUCUGGGCUUGUCUGUAAUACUUUUACUAUGUCUUCCACAGGACUGAGGAAAUCUCUUCUGCCAACACAUUGUCCGCAUAAAUGGCUACUGCACAGAAGCAAUCCUCUUUACAAGACUGUUUAAAAUUUCUCCUAGUCAAUGGCCCAUCGAAUCCGAAGUUCAGAAUCGGAAUGGCCAGUCUGUGUUGUUUAAUUCUAUGAACUCUACCUCAUUCUUCCCCGCUUCCCCUUCAUCUGCUUGGCAACUGGGCAUUGGAAAAUUUGGUCUUUGAAAUCUGGAACCAAGGUAGAAUACCUAUACAAGAACUCACAUCUGAAUAGCCACGGCCGCGGCCACUAACAGCUGUACAAUUGCCAUCGGUAAGUGCCUGCAGAACAGACGAAGAAGUAUUAAUGCAGUUCCAGUGGUUUGCAGUGUUCUUUUUUUAGUGAUUAUAGAAUCAAAAUCAAGUCUUGUCCUGUGGUAAUAGUCACUCCUGAAGUCUUUGUCUUCUGACAUGAGGUUAACUUAUUUGGCAAGAUGGUAUCAGUGGGAUUCUUGAAGCUCUCCCAGGCAUAAAUAAGUAAAGCCAUAUUUUCAAAAAAAUUUGGUUAGCAAUCAAGAAAAACCUGGUAGAAUUAGUGUAGAAUAUGUAAAAACUGGAAAAUCACCAUGUUAAUUUGAGCAGGUCAUCAAAACAUGUGGUUUUGGCCUCUUAAAUAUUCAAUCACAAGUAUAUUAUAUAUGAUUUUAAGCUAUUAGAGAAGUAUGAAAAAGAAAAUUAUGAGACAAUGUCAACAAGUGGAAAAUAAUUUCAUCAAGUAACUUCUCUUGAUAUCCUUUUCCUUUGUAACAAUAUUCAAGACGAAAGGUUACAACUUACAAGUCACAACUUAAUUUUCAACUUAAGACUCUUACCAUGUGAAGGUACUCAAGUCUGACUGUAACUUGACCCAACCAAGCAAGGGCCAUCCAUACUUUAUACCAUUUGAGGUUGGUCAAAUUUGCUCACAAAAUGAACUUUCCUGACAUUGAGAACAAACCUUAUAUCAUCAAAAGUUCAGAAAAAUAAAUCAAGAGAAUAUUUAAGACAGUGAACAACCAACUCUCUUCUUGAUAAUAGAUGGGGAACAAGCUCAAAAUAUAGAAUAUUAAAUUUUCUAAAGCAUGAAGAUGGCGAAUAAGCUUAAAAAAAUAAUUUCUAUACAAAAUCAGAAACAUGAGAGAAUUGCACUCAACUACUUUAAGAUAAUAACAACAUCAAAGAAAGAAAAACAGAACCGCGAAAGUCUUAUAGUCAAGAUAAUUUAAUUAAAAUAUUCUUUGUGGGAGUUUUGCGGUAUAGACCUUCAUUUAGACUUGGACUCUUUAAUUUUCUUUAUGAAUAAACAACUGACUCCUGCUCAAAUGAAAAAUGAGAACCAAUGCUCAUAGUCACAGAUAGAAGUGUAGGCAUGGCAAUGCCAAUUUUGCAUAUGAUCUAGUCCUAGUCAAGACCUAAGAAAAGCCAAAACAAGAACAAAAGAACAUCAAAAUUGGGACAAAAACAAGUGUAGCAACUACAUAACAAAGAUUUAUGUCAAUCUGCUCACCUUUUGAAGGUGGCCCACUGGGUGAGUGCAAAAUAGACCGGCUUUUUUUAACAGGGGCUCACAAUUAGUAAAAGUUGCAGAACCAAAACAGAGUUCAGAUAAUGAAAGAAUUCAAUGAAUUCAAUAAUAUAAAAAUGUUGCUUUUGGAACUGUAGGUUUUCAAAUAAUCAGAUCUAAAAAUACAUUGGCAUACAAUUACUGUUUGUUUACGUCACAUGUUUUUCCAUAGUCAUAUCAACAUGUACAUAUGCAGCCAACUAAAAACAUAUUGUGAUGUUGUAAGAUUCAAUACAUAUUUCAAUAACCAUGAAUUACCUAAAAAUGUAUCCACAUGUUCUUACAGGAGAUAAACACACAAGUAGUUAAGAGUCAUCUUUACCCAUUCAGGAAGGUAAAUUGAAGGUGUCAUGAAAAUACGAUAAGUGGCUUCAUUAAAAUGUGAAUUACCAAGGAUCAAUCUUUCUUUACUCUUUUUUUUUUUUUUUUUGAUAGGUAAAGGAAAUUCAUUAAAAGCCAAAAAGGCUAAAGUUACUCUUCUUUUCUUCAUUAGAAAAUUCUUAAAUAUAUAUAUAUAAAAGAACAGAGCAUGCUGCAUAACCAAAUUCCCAACAAGACUAGAAAAUGAAUUAUGGGGACAUGCAACUCUAGAGAUUGUUAGAAAUUUUGAAACAUGAGUACUUGGCCAGCUACUUUGUGAAUUGGAACAUAACUUUUCUGAAUAAAAUAAGUUUAAGCAUAGAACAAAUUACUUGGCUGUAUAUUGGUGCAAUACCACUUUCAUUACAAUAACAGACCAUUGAUCACCAUUUUUGGAGUUGAGAGAGGGCAAUGCAUAUAUACAAGAUCAUGGGAUUAUGUUCUGCUUGGAACUCAAUUUUGCUUGUCAAUAGCCCACCGCAUUCUUCUCUGCUUCCCCUUCAUCUGCUUGGUUUGAAAAAAAUUUGAUCUUUAAAAUCUGUAUCCAAGAAAGAAUACCUAUACAGGCAACAAUCUGGACAGCCUCCCCUCUUCAUCAAACAAUACAAUGGCUAUUAAAUCCACAAAUCCCACUACCAUGGCUACUGGUACCUAUGCUACAAAUGCCAUUAGGAAUUGCCUGCACAAUAGACCAAGAAGCAUUUGUUUUUAAGAUCAGAAGCUUCUAUAUAUAGGUAAAGCAUCUUAUACAAAAGAGUAGAGAUUUACCUUGUGCCUUUAAAAACCACUUUUUAAGAAAUUUUAAAAUUUGAGAUAAUAAAUUUUUUUUGGUACCUUGAUUGUUUUAAACAGUUUUUAAAAUUAUUAAUUUUUCAAUGUAAGUCUUUAAGAGUUAAAAUACAAAAGUUACUAUUAUUUUAUUAUUUUAAAAACAAAAAACAGGAGGUAUAUACAGACACUUAAGGAGGUCAAAACCUUAACAAUGUAGGAGAUUUAACGGAGGCAAGGAAUUAAGCAGAUAUAUUCUUGAGAUUAGAAAUUUGGGUGGAACAUCAAUUUUGUAAAGAAAAUAAGUUUAAGCACACAACAAUUACCUGCCCAUGUGUUGGUGCACUGCCACUCCCAUUAAAAUAGCUCAAGACCGAUCGUUAUUUUUGGAAUGUGAGAUAUAUAACGCCAUUCUUGCCCUUUCUCGAACUGGAGCCGUUGUUCCAGUGGAGGACACUCGUUGAUAUGCAGAUAAAGGAGUGAGUCUGGCAGUCUCUCUUUUGUCAAGUAUUGAAGCUUAGGGCAGUCGUCGAUAUGUAAGGUUUCAAGAGUGGUGAGGUGGUGAAGACCCGCUUCUGUCAAGGAUUGGAGCCUUCCGCAUGAGUCGAUUCCUAAUUUCUUGAGAGAGAUAAGGCAUUGAAGAACAGAUCCUGUCGAGAAUUGGAGCUCAGGGCAGUACUGGAUCCAUAAUUCUCGAAGAGAGGUGAGUUGUUGAAGCCCCUUGUUGUCAAGAGACUUGAGAUUUGGAAGAUCUGAGACUGAAAGAUAAGUCAGAGAAGAGGGCAGCAGGCACUUUUGGGAAAUAAUUCCACGUCUUCACAUCCACCUCUGAUUGUGAAAUGAGUAUUGUUUAAUCAUUAUAAGAUGCCUACUUAAAUCAAUAAUAUCUUCCUCACUUCCAUAUACACGAGAUUCAAAAACUAAAAAAUAGAACAAGCCAUGCGCAUGAGAUUCAUUUAGUUUUAUUGAGAGAGUUGUGCCUGCCAUGCACACACACACCGGAUUAAAGAAAUAAUGAAAGAUGACUUAUGAGAGAGUUGUGCCUGCCAUGCACACACACCGGAUUAAAGAAAUAAUGAAAGAUGAAAUAAGUCAUAGAAGGCUCAUGGGGCUGCUCAAAGCCUCAGAGAGAGAGAGAGAGAGAGAGAGAGAGAGAGAGAGAGAGAGAGAGAGAGAGAGAGAGAGAGAGAGAGAGAGAGAGAGAGAGAGAGAGAGAGAGAGAGAGAGUUAGUUUUUCUUUUUUUUUCUAACUUUGAAGCUAGUCAUUCAAGACUCAUGGAGUUGAUUGAACAUUAUGAUAGAACCAAACAGUCCCUAUUGUUUGCCAAAAACAAUUUUGUGAAAAAGCGAUCCUUUAUAAUAUGUUUGCUUCCAUAAAGUUUGAAAAAAAAAUGUAAAAAAUAAAUAAAUAAAUAAAAAUAGAAAAAAAAUUUAAAAUUAAUAAAUUAUUUUUACAUAUUACAUGAAAUUCAUUUUAAAUAUUUAAUUCUUUGAUAUAAAGAUUAAAUAAUUUAAAAAUAAAUAAUUUUCUUAAUCAUUUUAAUUAUAUUUGACUUUUUUCAUAUUUUUUAUGAUAUAAUAAAAAAUUGAGAAAAUCAUUUUUGUUAACAUUUUUUUUCUUAGUAUUUUUUAGGAACUAAAUAUAGAUUUAUAUUAAAAGUAAUCCUUUAUAUUAAAGUCAUACUUGGUUCUAGAAAAUGGUCCAAAAAAAUAUGUUAAAAAAAAUAAUUUUCUCCUAUUUGAUUUUACUAUUAAGAAUAUGAAAGAAAAUCAAAUAUAAUUAAAAAUAAAUAAAAAAAUUAUACAUUUCAAGUUAUUUUAUUUUUAUAUAAAAGAGUUAAAUAAGUAAAAUGAGUUUAAAAUAUAAUAUAAAAACAAUUUAUUAACUUUUCACAUCUAAUUAUCUUAUCCUUCGUUUGUAAUACUAGAAGUAUCAAGGAAAUGAAAAAAAAAAAAAGCAGCUAAAUGAGAAUUUAAAAUCAUAUGUUUGAUUGAGAGUGAAAUUUGAAAUACUAAAUUACAUAUAUUUUUAUUAAUGAAGAAGAAUGAGAAAUAAUAUUUUUUUAAAAAGUAUCUAAAUUUUUUCUUACUUUUUUUACAUGUCACAAACAUGGUUGUCUUAGGUUCUAAUCUUUCCUAAUUCAUCAAAGACUAAAUUCCCAUGGUCAAUGACACAAGUACUGUAGGCAUGGCAAUGAGAACUCUGCUAAUGAGAAGCUAACACCAAAAGAUUUAGGUCUUCUCUUAUGACCAUGACAUUGAUCUCAAUGAUCAUUUCCAUGAAGACAGAAACAAAGUGCAUCAACUUCCUAACAAACUUCAGGUCUAUUUGCCUACCUUUAAAAGGUGGUCCACUAGGUCAAUGCAAAAUAGACCAGCUUUUAUUACAGAGACUCCCAAUCAAUGAAUGCAGGCCGCUAAACCAAAAUAUGAAACAAUGAGAUGUUUUGAGGUUAUUGAGAACAUGAACCAAAACAAAGAAAACCUUUUUGUUUUAGUGAAAAAUAAGACAUUGAAAGGAUAUGCAGUCAUAAAUCUUGCAAUUUUGUACAUUGCAAGAGUUAAAUCUCUACUUUUAUUACACUCGAAAGGGAAUAGCAG
RNAcentral lists this long non-coding RNA (52260 nucleotides) under Vitis vinifera (wine grape). RNAcentral describes it as "long non-coding RNA (VVIN_LNC004413)". The record is from RNAcentral. Lineage: Eukaryota; Viridiplantae; Streptophyta; Magnoliopsida; Vitales; Vitaceae.